AGCCAGGAGGGUGACAUGGUGGACAUAGUGGAAAUAAGGUUUAGUGUCAAAUGGACCUGGCUCCAAUUCCAGCCAGACUUUGUAACCUUGAGAUAGUUACUUUCUCUUGCCAAGUCUCAUUAUCCCACCAAAAAAAAAUGAGACUAAUAUCUGAGAAUUACAUGGUAAGAGAAACUAUACCAAGUUCCCAGUAUAGCCUCUAGCAUAAUAGGUGGUCAUCUAAUACUGGUUUAUCUUGUCUCCUGCCUUUCCUCUGGUAAAGAGUUGCACCAAGACAAAUGUUUACUAAAUCUAGAUCUGAGUUGGCAAGGGACUACAGAUGAGGAAAGUUCUGGAGAGUUUUGAUGGGAAGAAAAUAGAGAUCACUGAGCAAAAGGAAAAAUGGAAUUUUCAGAAGACCACUCCAUAGGUGGUAGUCAGAGUAGAUACAGAGGCAGGUGACAGCUAGUCGUGAAUCUGCAAGUUCACUGAACAGACUGUGUGAAGGACUAUAUUCCAGGCUAUGUGGUAUACCUGAUCACAUCUGGAUUGGUCUCUCAGCCCUUUGCUCUCAGCUCCACUCUCUGUACGUUCCCUGCUCUGUACACACAAGAAUUGGAUCUCUGGCCAGGGGGCUUCCAUGAAGAAUCAGCCAAUAGGAGGCUAGAAGAUUGAUGGUGGAAGAAGGUAAGCUGAGAAUUUCAUUCUUUCCUCUCCCUGCCCUGGGGCAUCUUGGACAGUGCUAUUUUUUCUGGAAAUUCCAGUUUCAAAAGGCAUCCCAUCCUUUGUGUACCCAGCCCACAGCUCUGUCCAGGAGUCCCAACUCUGGCUUCUCAUGCUACCUUCCCCACCUGUGAUGCACCAGUCUUAGGGUGGAACAACUUCCAGCCAUUGCCAAUCUGUGGGGCACUCACCAUCUCUUUUUUGGCUUCUCAGUUUUAGCUGUGUGCUAAUACUAGGCACUUGUAUUAUAUUCAUAGAAUAUAAUAUAAUAAUAAUAUAGUAUAAUAAUUAUAUAAAUAUAUUUAUAUAUUUAUAUUAUAUAAUAAAUAUAAUAAUUAUAGAAACACCAGAAGUGUUUGUAUUUCCUGAGUAACCCUAAACUGACAUAGCACCUAAAUCAAAACAAAUCUCAGAUUAUUUUUGUGUGAUUACAUAUGACUCUAAAUCUUAGAAAAUACAUAAUUGCAAGCUACAUAAAGAUUGGUCUCCUAGUAAAGAGGAGAGAAAUGUGGAUCAGAAUUCUUCAACAAAAAAAAAAUCAUAUUAUCAUCUCUUAAUACAGGAUAAUUAUGAAUCUGUGAAUAUAACAUGUCACAUUUAAUUCAGCAUUUCCUGGGUGAUCUGGAAAGGUGAAUAACAAAUUCAGAAAUUUAUCCCACAGAUGUAAACUGGGAAGUGUUGCAAAUACCCAAAAGAAUAAGGAAAUACUAAUAAUUUUUUAAAACCCUGGCAGUUAGAGUAUGGACAGGAUAUGAUGAUGAAACUCAUAAAAAUACAUAGUUGAAUCAAAAUAGCAAAAUGAAAUACUGCCUGAAAAAAUGCACAGUUGCAUGGAUAAAAAGAAAUCAUCAGAAACACAGAUACUCCAUGGGUAGGAAAGAAAAUAAGUGAAGAUGACUGAGGAGUGACAGUGCAAACUUAAACAUAAUUUAGAAAUAUGAUGGAAGAAAAGAGCCUGAUUAUUAAGAUCUUUAAGUUUAGAUAGUCAAUGCUGUUGUUUUAAAUUAUGGUGUUUUUUUUUUUCUCUUCUCUCCAACAUCUAAUCAUUCCCUCCAAUUUAUAUAAUAUCGAUUAAUCCAAAAUCAGCAGAGCCUUAUCCAACUUUGUAUACCUCGAUAAUAAAAAUAAAGAAAAUACUAAGAAUGUAAGGAAAUUGAAUCUGAAUGAUAAGGAGCUGGAGAACACAACAGUAAAGGAAGUGAGAAGAGCCAGCUUGGCUGAGCAGCCAUAUUUCUAGCACAGACCCAGAGAAAGUCAAGGCAUAUUGUGUGGGGCAAAUAAAUUCCACAUAGAUGCUAGAUCUCAGUGUUGGCCUACUUAUGGAGUAUCCAGUUCUCAUUUUGAUGGGAAGAAUCCAGGCAAGUAAAAUAAAUUCCUGGAGAUGAAACUGCUCUUUGGGAUAAGCAAAAUUACUUCCUCUUUCUCCAUGAAGCCCCAGAUGGUCAGAAAACAAAACCCCAGUAUGUGAUUUUUGUUUGUUUGUUUGGCUUGAACCUUAAAUAUCACUUCUAUCAGGAUAAUACUAACUUCUAGAGGUUUCUGUGUGUUUCCAUGUGAUCAGGAAGGGUUUUCUUUUGGAAAAACAGGAGUUCAAAAGAAGGACAAGAACGCUUAGCUCUGAACAGAUGAAGUAAAAUAAUUUGCUCCUGUGUAAAUUAUUAGUUGAAAGAAGAAUAAGGAUUAAAGCUAAACACUCAGUGCUCCUGUUAAACAGGGCUGUUAUAAUCUAAGUAUUCAUGAGAAACCAUUUUCAAAUUUAAAAGAGGGAGGGAGAGAAGCAACUAUAGUCAACUGUAAUAUAGCAAGGAUCUGUCACAUGAUCUAAUUACAGAAAUGAAAGCAACCCAGGAAUUAUGUGGUCUAUUCAAGCCUGCAAGGAGUAUGAACAAAGAAUAUAAUUAUACAUCAAGCCUGUUGAUUAAACAAUUACUAUUUAAAGCAGAUAUAGAUUUAAAAUUAAUUUGCUUCUGCGUUCUGAGGAUUUGGGGACUGAGAUAAACAUUAUUUGAAGUUUAAUUAUCUGUGUGUAAGAUGAAGGGGCUCAUUUCAAUUUGGUUAGCUCUGCAGAGCAUUUUGGAUGGUGUGAAAGGAAAAAUCCAACUCCACCACAAGUUUCAGCAUUGCUGAAAUGUGUGAUUAAAAUGAGCGGGAAGACUUGAUCAGCCUAAUCCCCACAGGACGGGUAAUAUCACAGGAGGGAUUGUGCAACUGCAAAUUAAUAUUUAAAUGAACAUUAGUGUGAAGUUUACCUGGAAGGGGAAAAUACUUUAUCUCCAAAAGAAUAGAAGAAAGCCAACCACACAGCUUCAGCUCCAUGGCAGGGAGGACAGGGGAGUGGACACCUUCACGCAGGGCUGAGCAAAUAGAACACCUACCUGCCAGCUACUCUGAAUGGAGUGAUUCUUAUCAGAGGCCACGUGUACAGUGUCCCAGGGCAGAAUUUCAGGGUCGGAGGGUGGGCAGGGUAAAAGGGUAAAUUGUAGUCAGAGUGAAAGAAAAACAAUCUAGAAAAUUCCAGAGUUACAGAAUGAUCGUUGAGAUGCAUGGAAAUAAAGUCUGAUUAGUAUCCACACACUGAGAUCCAAAGGCAUUGGGCAGAAUUUCCAGACCUCAAACCCAACUCAUCAGCUACCAUGAAGGGGCUCAGUGACCUGCCUGUGCUCAUAUACCUCACCUGGCCCCCAGCCCUAGGAGGAAGGUGCUGCAUGGUGUUGAGGUUAAGAGAAUGAACUUUAGAAAGGGAAAACCUUGAAUGAGGUCUCAGCUCUGCCACUUUCCAAUUUGGAAGCAAAGCAUUUGCCUUUGCUCCAGGUCCUCUUCCUAGGUCCUCAAGGAAACAAUAAGGUUCAUUUAUUCAUUAGGUUGUUUAAAAUAUGAAAUAUGAGAAUGGGGACAACUAAGAGUGUUCUUCUUCUACCUAAAACCCUGUGGUGGGUCUUAUUAUUUUGGGGGUAAAGGUGAAUCUCUUUAGUGUAGCCUUCAAGCUUCAGAAGUGUGAUAAUGCCCUCCUCACCCAUCUUCUUUUGCACCCUCCUUCCUAAUACUUUCUCCCUCCAGACACACAAGCUUUAUGUCAGUCCUCUAUUUUCUCUCCUGCUUCAAAAUCCAGGUCACAUGAAGCACUGGAAAGUCCUCAAAGAUCUCCUGCUAUAGUCUGGAUCCAGAAUGUCCCACAAAGACCAAUGUGUUAGAGGCUUGUCCCCAGCUUGGUGCUAUUAGGUGGUAGUGGAACUUUUAAGAAAUGGGACCUCAUGGGAGAUCUUAGGUCAUUGGGGGCAUGCCCUCCAAGGGAAUCUGGGACUCCAGCCCCUUAUUAUCUUUUUCAUUCUGUGCCAGUAAAUGAAUGGCUUUUCUCCUCCAUGUGUUCCCCUCCAAGAUGAUAUUACUUGCAACCGUCCCAAAAGCAACAGGGCCAGCUAACUAUGGACUGAAACCUCCGAACUGUGAACCAAAAUAAACCUUUUCUUUUUUUAAGUUGAUUUUCUCAGGUAUUUGUUACAGUAAUGGAAAACUGACUAACAUACCUCCUUUCCAUAUCACUUACUAAACUUGCAAUUUUAUAUUUGUGUAGUUCUUUUUAACACAGCUAUUUUUCCAUUGGAAUGAAAGCUCCAUAGGAUGCAAUUUUGCCAGUGUUUUAUCCACAUUAUAAAUUUUAUUCCUAUAGACACUCAAAUAUUUGCUAAGGAAUAAAUGAAUGAAAAUGCCAGUGCCUGGCACAUAGUGUGCCUCAGUAAACAAACACUGGUUUUUAAAUAACAACCCACUAAUAAUGCUAAUUGAAAAAUACAAGAAAAAAUUCUGAUUAUUAUUUACUUUCUCCAGUGAUUCUCAAAUGAUUUUUAUUCCGCAGGCAAUGUCUGUGCUACUUGAAUCUAGUGGGUAGCUGGGAGCCUGCUAAACACCCUACAAUGCACAGCACAGUCUUCCUACUAUGCCAAAAGUGCCAUGGUUGAAAGAACUGAAUUUUGUCUUCUGUCAUUUUUCUCUCAUACUGUAAUUCAUCACUUGAGUUAUAGAGGCAAAUCCCACCUGCCAUAGGCAGUUAUUCUUGCCUUCUACCCUGUACAUUUCUGAGAGCACAAGGUCAUUCUUGCCUCUCACUUCUUCCCCACACUCUAUCGGUCUAUCUCAAAACCCUUGGUCCACCCAUCCCUGUUCUGCUUGUGAGACUAAACUUAAGAAAACUAUGUUUUUACCCUUCCCUGUCAUACAUGUUGUUUUAGUCAGCUUUUUUUGCUGCUGUGACUAAAGGACCCAACCUGCACAAUGUUAGAGGAGGAAGAAUUUAUUUGAGGGCUCACAGUUUCAGAGGUCUUAGUCCAUAGAAGGCUGGCUCCUUCCUCAGGGCUGGAGGUAAGGCUGAACAUCAUGGCGGGAGAGAGUGGUGGAGGGAAGAAGCUCACAUCAUGGUGAUCAGGGAGCAGAGAGAGACUCCACUUGCCAGAUACAAAUAUACAUCACAAGCCAGGCCCCAGUUCCCACCUCCUUCAGCCAUACCCUACCACUUCAGUUAAUCCCUAUCAGGGGAUUACAACACUGAAUGAGUUAAGACUCUUACAACCCAAUCGUUUUUACUCUGAACUUCUUGCAUUGUCUUACAUGUCAGCUUUUGGGAGACACCUCACAUCCAAACCAUAACACAUUUGUUCCUAUCUUACAGUAUAAGUUUCAACAAAAGCAAAAUGUGAGCACCAAUACUUGGCUUUCUGGACAAAGCUGUUUCAUAUAUAAGGCUUUAAGACAGUUUAUGUAGCAAAAAAAAAAAAAAGAUAGAGGCUGACAUUUAUUAACUGUCAUGCCCCGAUAAAGACAUUGCUCCAAGACAAAAGAGCACUCACUCUAACAGUAAGUGCUGUGCUCAAAAUUAUCAAAAUAUGAAGUUAUAGAAAUGAAAAAACUGGAAACAAAGAAGCAAAUUAUUCUAGAGUGGUAACUCAGAUAGUGUCAAACACCCGAGAUCACAAAAAUGUAAAACUUCAUAUUUAAUUGAUUUCAUAAAAUGCUGUGUACACAAUGGUUAAAAUUAUGUCAGAUAGAAAUUACAAGUAUUGGCAAGAACAUGGAGAAACUGGAAGCACAAACAGACUGAAACAGCCUAUGGGAUGGUACUACCUUUAAGACUCACAAACAUCAUGCUGAUUCACAGAUUUAGGGCUCUUGGUUUUGAAUAUUCACUUGUUGCCUUAAACCCUUAUGGCUUCUUUCUCAUCCCAAUGUUGUCACAAAACUUUAUCACUGGAGGGCAAUAUGAUUCAGUCACUUUAGAAAUCAUUUUGAUGGUUCAUCAAAGAGUUAAACAUAGGGUUACCAUAUAACCCAGCCAUUCAUCUCCUAGGUUGUAUCCAAACAGUAUGAAAACAAUAAAACAAGAGCCUAUACAUGUAUAUUAAUAGAAACACUAUUCACAAUAUGCAAAUGGUGGAAACUGUCCAAAUGUCCAUCAACAGAUGAACUAUUAAACUAAAUGUGGUAUAUCCAUACAAUGGAAUACUAUUUUAACACACACACACACAAAAAGAAAUGAAAUACUGAUACAGCCUGGAUGAACCGCCAAAUACAGUUUGCUGUGUGAAACAAGAUCACAUAUUGCAUAAUCCCAUUUAGAUGAAUAUCCAGAUAGAAAAAUCCAUAGAAACAGAAUGUACAUUUAUCUUCCAGAUGCUGGAGAAAGAGGAAUGUUCAGAGAAAUGCAGAGAAACUGUUUAAAAUUUAAGAGGUUUUACCCACUAAAUAGUUUGAAGUAAUGUAAAUGUUUUUGGAAACAGAGGUAGUAGUUGCAAAAUGCUGAAUUAUUUAGUCACUGAAUUUUCUCACAUUAAAAAGGUUGUUUUAUGUUAUAUAAAUUUCACCUUGAUUUUUUAAGAUUGUAAUAUCCCUGGGUGUGGUGGUACACACCUGUAAUCCUAGCAACUUGGGAUGCUGGAACAGGAAGACAAAUCACAAGUUCUAAGACCGGCUUGGGCAACUUAGAAAGACCCUGAAUCAAAUUUAAAAAUAAAAAGGGCUGGGGAUAUAACUCAGUGGUAGAGUACCCCUGGGUUCAGUCCUCAGUAAUGCACACACAAAAAGUUAAAAGUAUGCAAAACUGGCCAAUACUGAAAGAGAGAAUGCCUCAAAAUGGAAAGAGAUGUGAAAAUUUCUAGGGGAAUUAUUGGUAAUUUAUUUUUAAAUUUUAUUUUUUAAGUGACACAUUCAUUGUAAACAUUCUAGAGAACACAUAAAAGCACUAAAAAUAGUGUAGAAAUCGUUAUUGGUAUGUCUUGUUUUUCAAAAAGAUUCUUUAAUGUUGAUGUUAAGUUACCUUUGAAAGUACAAGAAAAAGAAAACCAAGAUACUGUGUUUAAGUAAGAUAAAUCCACACAGUCAAACAUGUAUUUCUGCCAAGGCUUUGAAUGAAGGCUUAUUUCUCUCUGUGGCAAAAAUGAAACUGGGAGACUGAGGACUAUGGGAGGAAACAGAUAAACCUUAACUCUGGAGCUAAGGCCUCUCUCUCCCAUUCUUCUAUCCACCCCAUACCAGCAAGGUCUGGGUCUUAUCAGACUGGCCAAGCCUGGUCUCUGGGGGAGAGUUGGGGAGCCAUUCCCCAUUAAAAAGAUGGCAAUUUCCCAUUCCUCUUACCUGCAUAGCCUUUUGAGCACAGCAAGAACUCACAAGUGAUAAUUAAACUAUUGAACUCUAAGAACAAGAUGGGGGUUUAAGAUCCCUGGCUUCAUAAAAAAAAUAAGUCAUUAAUUCCAAAAGAUUUACAAAUUCUGAUAAAACUGUAUGUUUCUCUUCCCAUUCUUCUAAACCUUUUUUUGAGUAUGAACAUAAAUAAAGUGAUAAGAAACAAAAAGAGAAGCAGAAGUGUGGUACAUUGCUCAGUACAGAACAAAUAUAUUACCAGUGACUCCAAACUACCUACCAAGAGCCCAUUCUGUACCCAGCUAUUAUACACUGUGUGUUUGUACCUCCCAGAAUUCAUACAAGAUGAUUUUGGGAGGAGGAGACUUUAGGAAGUAUUAGGUCAUAACGGUGGUGCCUUCAAGAUUAGGAUUAGUGCCCUAUGGAAGAGACCCCAGAAGUUCCUCACCUCUUCCCUCUUAUGAAGACAAAAUGAGAAGAUAGCCAUCCUUUAACCAAUUGCCAAGCAUUGAACUGCAGUAUCAUGAUUUCAGACUUCUCAGCAUCAAGAACUGUGAGAAGUUUCUGUUUUUAUAUUUUGUUAUAACAGCUCAAAUGGACUAAGACACCAAGUAAGACACUAAGACACUAAGUAAGUUAGCAUCACAAAAUUAUUUAGGAGAUACUAUCUUUAAGACUCCAAAAUAAUACUCUGAUUCACAGAUUCGGAGCUUUGGGUUUUGAAUAUUCAUUCUUUGCCUCACCUAUCAAUGACCUCUUUCUCAAUCCACUUUUGUCCACUAAUCUUUUAUGAAUUGCCUCUUCUAUUCUUGCAGCACAACUACACUGAGUGAGACACAUUUUCCUUAUUAAAAAUAAAAACAUAAAAAGAAAAAGAACAGAAGAUGUUAAGGAUAUAAAGAUACUCUAAAGUAAUUCCCUCCCUAAAGAAACUGGUAGAAUCAAAAAAGAAUCAAAAAAUAAAAAAGGUAAAGGAAACAAAAAUAAGUAACUCUCAGAACCAACAUUGUUGGGAACAAAGUCUGGUGGACUCUCUAAAUAUAGAGUUUCCUAUACCUGGGCUCUCUGGCAUAGUAAAGCUAUCUCCAUGGCUAAUGGAAGGCCCUGAUACUUCUCCAUUUUUUCCAGGGAACUUAGCAUUAAUAUUCUCCCUAAGUGUAUUCCUUGAGGAAUCAUGGCCAUAAGCAAUUACAUGGAAGCUGCCUUGCCUCCACUUCUUGCAAUGCAUGAUAUGUAGACACAAACACACACACACACAUACACACACACACACACCAAAAAAAAAAAAACACCACGUCAGGGCCCAACAGAGAAGUACAAUCAAUAGGAGGUAGAGAAGGAAAGACAAACAGUUAGUUAAAUGCAGAGUGUUCCCUCAUUCUGUCUUGUCAAGAACAUACAGACAUGAGAUAUACAUAAAAACCUAAAAUGAAGUGAAUAUUGCUCAUUUUAGACCAAGCAAAACACAGGCUAUAUUUCUUCAGAUUUUAAGGGUUUUCUCUGUUACAGUUUAGAUACUAGGUAUCCCCCAAAAGCUCAUAUGAAAGACAAUGCAAGAAGGCUUAGAGAUGAAAUUGUUAGGUUAUGAGAGCCUUAACCCAAUCAGUGAAUUUAUCCCCUAAUAGGGAUUAACUGAGUGGUAACUGUAGGCUGGGAGGGUGUGGCUGGAGGAGGGACAUCAUUUGAGUCAUGCCUUUGGGGCAUAUAUUUGGUGAUCUGAACUUAGUCUCUCCCUCUCUGCUUCCUGGAGUGAAAGAUGUCUUGAGCUGCUUUCCUCCACCACACCCUUCUACCACGAUGUUCAGCAUCACUGGAAGCCUCGAGGGAUGGGACUAGCUAUUUAUGAUCUGAGACCUCUGAAAUCUUGACCACCAAAUAAAAUUUUCUUUCUCCAAACGUUCUUGUCAAGUCUUUUGGUCACAGCAAUGAGAAAGCUGACAAAAAUGCUGUCUCGGUCCCAAUCCUAAAAACUGUCCUGGUCAAGGCUUUGUAACCCCAUUGCCUAAAAUGGGGUUGAUUUUCUCUAAAACUAGCUGUGAUGUGUGGAUGAUGGUUCUGGAACCUCUAAAGGUACAUUUCCAUAGAAACCAAAGUAAGUGGUCAUGAAAGGUGAAGAGCUCAUACUCCAAGCUCUGAGAAAAGCGAAAAUGCCCUCAUGACAAAUUUAGUAUCAUUGAGCCAGGAUACAGUCCUCCCUGCCAAUAUUACCAAAUCCAAUUCUAGGUGACUUCUGGAACCUAGAUUUAUUUAGAUUGACAUCUAGAAGCUCGCAUGUUCCACACAUCCAACUGUAGGAAAGGGGGAGGUCAAACUCUUGGAUUGUGCUCCACCCUCCUCCUCUACCAGCCUGAAAAUCUUCAUAAUACAAAACAGCUCUGUGAUGCUUAAGAUAGUAAGAUAGCAUCACAAAAUUAGACAAUGGUUGGUAGCAAUUAUCUUUCAAACUUGACAGACUUGGUUUUGUGUUGUUUUAGGGAAUAAAGUGUCUAAUGGCCAUGAAUCAUGAAUACUGCAUUUAGCGUUUUUUGUUGUUGUUGUUGUUGUUGUUGUUGUUUUGUUUUUGUUUUUUGCCAAAUGCAUUGCAACAAAUCUACUCUUCAGCACUGGACUCUGCCAAAUAUUCCAUCUCAAUACCUCGUCCAGCUUCUAGAGAAAUUUCAUCCAAAUCUUUUGUUAAGCCUUUCUCAACACUCUGUGUUUACAAAGUACUCACAAUAAUCUAGUAGCCUAGAGUUGGGUAGCGACCCAAGUCAGCACCUAAAUAAUGGAGUCUUGCCCUCUCACUGUUAGCACUUACUUUGCAGAGAAACAUCCUCAGGGUUCUAUAGAGAUUUACAACUAGUUGCCAAGAUCUUUUUGGAGUCAAAAAUGAAGUGCAUGUCUAGACUUUGAAACUUCCACCCCAGGGCUUGUCCCAUUCGGGCAAUGAGGGGCAGCUGAGUGGGUUGUAAGGUGAGUAGUGACAGAAAUAUCUUCCCUUUUGGUCUGCAAUAGUUGCUGAGUUUUCCAUGAGGGCUGCUCCUUGGGAGUAUUUCUGAUACAAACACUAUGUUGAAGUGUUUUAAGGUGUUACUUAACAGAAGUAACAGUUAGUUAGCUAAUAGAGCAACACAUUCCCCUUUAUCUAUACAAUCUCGUAUCACCCACAAAGUAAAUAGGUCCUGAAACAAGUAGACCCAGAACAGGCAAGUGUGGAUAUGUAGAGUAACAAGGAAGGAGAGGAUGUUCUAAAGAAUGUGGUUGGCCAGGACAGGGAUCUAUGAAACAACAGUAAAGGGAGGUGAUGGGGGGGCGGGGGGGCGGGGAGGAUGAGAGUACUAGACACAGCUGGCUUUGAAAUGGAGGGAAACGAACAAAAGAAAUGAAAACCAGAUUUGGUUGAAUUUACAAAUCGGCCCAGGGCCCAUACUGCUUCCCAGAAGAGGAGAAACCAGUGCAGGGAAGAUGUGACUGAUUUUAGGACAAUGUCUUUCAUACUCUGACCUCAAGGUGCCAUUCUAAGAGAAUGAUAAACUCUCAAAGAACUAUGAGGUUGAGGGUCUCAGGAGCAGGGCAGGAGCAGGAGCAGGGGACAGACGCAGGGAACAGGUAGUUCUCUGGGUUGGCAGGAGUAGAGCGGGCAGAUGCCUUGGGAUUUCUCCAUAUCCCUCUCCUAGAGGGUAAGUGUGGACUGAGCCUCUGUGUGUACUCCCCGAGUUCAUUGUGGUUCUCUGAUCUCCUACAGAGAAAGCAUGUGAGGAAAAACUGGUGACAUAGAGGGCCCUAUGUGGACUGUGUCAUGAGAAAUGUGUCACCAACCUCAGCAUAACCUUGCCAUUUCUCAUCCUCUCUCCCAAUGUCUCCUUCUUGCUCCUUCUAGAAUUUCCCAGCCAAAACUGUUAAGAGAUAUGGUUUAUUUCUCUGAUCAAAUAUAAUUAUUUAAUGAUAAAAGUUUACUUAAACUCUUUUUCAAUUAUAAAAGCAAUGUUGGCAACAGAUUCUUCCCUACAUCCAAACACUUCUCACAUUUUAACUUCACAACUUCCCAUGGUCUUACCCUUACUUCCUGAGAUGCCCACACCUUCACUUCUUACUGCUUUCAGUUCCAUCAGGAUCCAUCCCCAGGAAACAGGAAUGAAUAUUCCUGCCUUUUCUGACAACUUUUUAUCACCAAAGCUUACCUCUUCUAUGGUCCAUUCCCUAGAAACUUUGCCCAGUACUAUCUAUUCUGAUAAAUUAAUACAUGCCAAGGGGGAGGAGUUUCUUAGAGUUUGUUAAGUGAAUCAAAUGAGAGAAAUAAAUAGAUAUAUAGGUAUAUAGGUGAAGCAUGAAUAUUAUUUUUAUCAGUACAUUUAGUUCUCACAGGUAAUAAACAGAUGUUUUAGGAGGGACCCUAUGAAUGUUAAUCAAAAUGAGUGGCUCUGUUCUGAGGAACUUUACCUAUCAGGGCAGGUUGGCAUGGAAAAGAGGAAGAGGGUGUGAGGUAUGAGCCUGCUGCUUUUGGAUCUCCUCCACCCACGUUUUAUAAGCCCACUCUUUUUGUGGCUACUGCCCAUCCCAAGGCCAAACCACAUUUUGCUUCAUUCAAUUGAACCUUCACAGAAAGAAAAAAAUAAAAACCUACUUUGAUCUAUUGUUAAUAAAAUAAACUGUUUGAAAGAUACAAGAACAGUAAUGAACAGUUAGUUCCCAAUUAUGGAAAACAGCAGUCCUCGGGGCCAAAUAUCUUACAGAAAUCUUCUGCAUUCGGCAAAGAACCAUUAUUUAGGGACUCACAGAAAGGAGAAAAAUUGCUUGCAUUUCCAGGAGUUAGCUCUAUCAAUUUCCAGCUCUGUGUUGUGGGAUAAGUUGUUUAGCUUCCUGGAGCCUCGUGUGCUUUAUCUAUAAAAUGGGGAUAAACAUACCUCUGUCCCCAGAUGGUCAAGAUUCAGUUGAAUUGUGACCUAUAAGCAAUGUAACUCCAGAUUAGCUAGAUAGUAAACAAAUGAAAACAGCAACAACCACAGAAGUUAUUCCCAGACAUUUUGAGAGUGAAAAUAUUUGGCCUACAAAAGAUACUUGAAGGUAACUGUAGUAUACAUAUUAUUAAAAUGACUUGGACAUGGUUUACAUUUGAGAAUUACACAUUGUCCUUUGAGACAGCUGGCAAAACCCUGAAGUGUCUCAACCUCAGGGACAGGAAUUUCUGCCCUCGAGGUAGACAUUACCUGUCUCUGGCAGCUGCUGAAGACAGAUUGAGGGCCUGGCAACCCCUGCAGCAGGCACCCAAUCCCUGUCCUUUUCUUCACCUCUAUCUCUUCCACCCACCCACGCUCUCCCCUCCUGGCUGUGAGAGCCUGGAAGAGUCUGUCUAAUCUGAACUUGGAGAGCAGUGCUCUUUUGCCUUUAAAAUGCUUGCCCAGCUUAAUCAGUAACCAGCAGCCCUCUACUGCCAGUUACUCUCCUGCCCUGACAUGAGCCUCCUCUCCUGCCAGCCUGCAGAUGUGACUUUUUUAGGAAGAGUCAAUUCCCAGCCUUCACCCUUCCUGCCAAUGACAGCCUCCCUCUUUGAAGGUUACCUGUCACUGGUAUUCUUGCACAUGAAUGCAAAGUAAAGUGGGUGCUUGUCCUGACCUUGAGAAGCACGUCAGUGUGCAUAUAAGUUCUGAAACAGAGCACUUGACAUUUGCUGUCUUAUUUGUGUCAGGACUAAGAAGAGGAAGCCUCGUGUGGAGGGAUACUCUCUUAGGUCUGGGGAUGUGGCUUGUGAAUGGCACUUGUCAACUAAACCUUGCAGUGAUAUUCAGCAGGCAUGAUGGGGAGGAAAUGUUAAUGAAAUCCUGCCUAACUGCCGGAACACAUUUGAAUAGAAUCAAAGUCAUAUGUGGAUUUUUUUUUCUCGUAUACUAAGUCUUCUCAGCAUAUAUUAACCUUUUUGCCAGCUUGAAAAAAUAAAAAGGCACAAAACUAAGAUGUUUCACUCAUUCAAUCAUUCUUCCAACAUUUAUGGAGCACCCAUUAUGUACCAGGCCCUGUACCCAGAACUAGGGGGAAAAAUUGAAUAAGGCAUGAAUUUCUUUAGGAAAACAAUCUAUUAUUCAACAUUAUAUGGUGAGAACCCAAAUUCUCAGCUUAUUGAAAAAAACCAAAGGAUGCCAUGGAUUUCUAGACCCUCUGUUUCAUUUGGUUAUAGGCAAAGAGGAAGGUAAGACCCUUCAAAAGGGCAAAUAGAGUGUUAAAUUAGCUAGGAUGUACUUGGAACUUGAAACAAUUUUGGAAUUUAGGAAUAAAGCUUGCUGGGUUAUGGGGAAGAGACUUCCAAGCAACCAGAAUAGAUGGAACCAUCUUGGGCAGACAAUCAGGAGAGUACCUAGACUUGCCAUUGUUCGUAAAAUAGUCUUUCAAGCAAGAAAAGCCUACAAUCACAAUCACCAAUCUGGGCUGACCCUCCCUUGUCCAGUCUCUGACCAGCUGCUGCCUGAUACCACUGAUAGCAGAAUUCAGCUGAGCAUUGUUCUGCUGAUCAGUGGUGCAAGGCACUCCAUUUAGUAGCAACUUCCUGAUGCAGAGCUUUUAGGGAAUUCAAGGACUUGCUCUGUCAUCAUCAUCGGAAGUACAUAUUUUCAUUGCUGAGUCAGAAGAAUGAAAUUGGAGCUGGACCAGACACAAAUGGGUGAGUCAAAUGAAAGACUAUAGCUUCAUAACAAACCCCACUGUUGCUGAGACUCCUGGGGUGUGGGUUACCGAGUGGAGUACCACAGCAAAUGCCCGUGGCCCAUUCAUUCAUUCAAUAUAUGGUUAUGGUACACUUUCUGUGUUUCAAGAACUGUUCUAGGUGCUGGGUGGGGACAAAACUGUUAACCAGACAGACAAGGUUACACCCUCACAAAGCUUAUCUUGCAAUGAAGAGAUGUAAUUUAGAUGAUGAUAGGGUGAAGGAAACAUUAAUGGAUAAACUACAGAGUAACUUAUGAAAAUCACUUACAUUAAACCAGACUUUAUUGCAGACAACAGAAUCCACUCUAUCUCAUUUAAGAAGAAAGAAAUUCUAUCUGGUCAGCCCUCCAUAUCCACAGUUUCUGUGUCUGUGAAUUCAAAAACAUUUGGGGAAAAAAAAAUUACCUGAACGGAACAUGUACGGACUUUUUUCUUUGUCAUUAUUUCCUAAAUAAUAUAGUAUAACAACUAUUUAAAUAGCAUCUACAUUUCAUCAGAUGUUAUAAGUAAUCUAGUAUGACUUAAGUAUACAUAUAACACAUGGGUUGUGCGCAAAUAGCAUGCUCUUUUAUAUAAGGGACUUGAGCAUCCAUAGAUUUAUAUCCACCUGGUGUCCUAGAACUAUCUUCCGGGGAUACCAAGAGAUAACAAAUACAGAGCUCAAUGACAAAGUAAUUGUUAAAAGGGUGGAAGAGUAGGCUCCAGUCUGACCUGUGCACAAUUUGGUUUGAGAAGCUGUUGUAUUGGGGAAGGUGCCACACCCCUGCCUACUACAGAAGGAUUUCAGCCCCCAGUACAAUCACAAUAGCUGUUGGUUCUGUUGCAGAAGUCCAAAUCAAUCGGGAAGCUGCCUCUUCCUCCUACAAGUUCCAGCCACAGCUACAACUACUUGCUGUGGAAUCCUACCACUUCUGCCAGGAUCCAAGCCAACACAAUGAAGCUCCGUCCCAUCCAAACGAAACCCUGUGAACCACAAAAUGGAUGCCUUACAUUUUAUUGAUGGAAACAGAUUCAUGUCUAGAAUCCAAUUUCCAACAGAAUCUGGGAAAUGUGGGUUUUAGCUUUGCAUUCUUGGCAUAGGAAAAGGUAGUUUUGAAUGGAUGUUAAACUAGCCAGUCCAUGGUAGCUACCACACCACUUUAAGAAGGAUAAUCAGGGAAUGCCUCUAAGGCAACUGACAUUUAAGCUAAGAUCUCAUGAAGGACUGAGGGAGAAACUUUCCAGGCAUAGACAAAAACAAGUCUGGGCAUAAUGAUUGGGGGACAAAAGAGAAUUUAGAAAAGUUAGCAGAAGCUAAAUCAAGCAAGGCUUAGAAGAUCAUAGUGAGGAAUUUGCAUCUUAUUCAGAGUACUUGGAAACCAAAGAAAGUUUUAUGAAGGGGAUUGACAAAAUUUGAUUCAUAUUUUUAAAAGAAAAUUCUGGCUGCAAGGUGAAGAAUGGAUUAUGGAGGCACAAAGAUAUGAGACAAAACAGAAAAAUUUUUUGAGAAUUAGAUAUGAUGGUGCCUUGGGCUAGGAUGUUGGCCAGACAGAAAUGAAAUUGGCAUUUUCUAUGUGUAUAUUGUAGGGAGGACUGCAGGGUUUCAGGAUGAAUUAGAUGUGAGGAGUUACAAAAAGGGAAGCAUUAAGGGUUGCUUCUAUAUUUCUACUACAAACAAUGGGGAAAUGGUAUCCUAUUUACUGGGUUGAGGGAAAACAUGUCUACAAUUGACCACAACAUCUAGUUCUUGAUAUUUAAAAAAUAAUCUGUCACAUAGACAUGUUGGAAGUAAUCUCAACCACAGAGCCUCAUGUUUUGCUCUCCCAAAUGGCAACUAAUCUCACUCUUCAGAGUAUCAUUUAGGUUCCAAAGAAGAGGGUCUCAAUCUCUAUGCAUGUAAGAUACUGACACAGGUGUAUGUAAACACUGGUAUUAAGAUUUACAUGGUAAAAUACAUGUGGCAGUGUAGAAUAGUCUGGGGGUGGUAGUAUCUAAUCUCACAAAAAAUGAAAGUAAUAAAGAGAUUUGAAGGAGAAAAAUCACAUGCUGAAGAGUUGGGGACCAUGGCAAGUCACAGCCCUGUGCCAUCUUGGUGCAGCAAAAUAACCCUCAGCUCACUGACUCCCGUGUCCUUCCCCUGCCCACCUCUCUCCACUCACUUCACCAUCAAAACAGUUGCUGGAAUUAGCAGAAGAGGAUGUUUACUGGACUUAUACAUGAAUAAUUAAAUGAUGUCAAAAGCAAAAAAUGUAGAUUAUUGUUUCUUUAUAAACAUGCAUAUUCUAAACAAUCAACCUGGGAGCCACCCUGAAGAACAAACAGAAAGAUCACAACUCUAAACUCUGCUAUAAUCUCCUCAACAAAUAAAUACACCAAUAAGAAUUAAAAGUCUUGGUAAGAGACAGAAUGGGAGGACAUACCUGUGCCCUGCCUCUCUUAAGCAAUCAGAGCUCUUAGAAUAGCUCUGUUGCUGGGGCAGAAGCAAAUAAUCUCCUGCUCUCCCUGAGCAUUAAAUCUUUCACAUGUCUUCAGCACUCUCCAUGGGCAUACUGAUGCCAAAGCAGAAAAAGAUUUAAUUUCAUGUUGCUAGGUUUUUCACUCUUCUGCAGUUAAUAAAGAGGCAGGUGCAGUCAGCUGGGUUGUUAAAAAAGAAAAAGGAGAGGGUUAAAAUUGUUUAUUUGACCUACUUCCAAUCUUGCUAAAUCACAGAAUAAGACAAUUUAUAACUUGUUCCCAGCUCCCAUACCUCAAUCACUUGCAAGGGAAAUGCAUCUGAAGGUAUUUCACACUUACAAAUGAAAAUUAUUUUGCCAAUCACGGCACUCUAAGCCUUGCAUGUAAGGAUUUUUAAACGCUUAACUACCCCUCCGUAAGUAUAUGAUCUAGUAAGCUCAUGAUGAAAGUUACUAGCUGUCAACCUGAUGAUUUGUAGGUCAUGUGGAUGGACACUCAGUGCUCUCAGGAGAUAAAGGUCAAAUGAAUGUCAUCUAUCACUUGAAAAGUGAAGUUGGUCUAAGGAAAAGAAAGGGGUUGUGUUUUUGUUGUUGUUGUUUUAAAGUGUCUAAUAAAAUAAUCAGUCAACUGCAUUUGGCCAAUCUCCUUGCUUUGGAGCCAUCAAUUUGAGCUCAGUUUCCAUCUUUAGCCCUUUCUCUGACUAUGCUAGGGUUUUUGUUAAGUGCUCACACACCAGUGUGGGGAGGAAAAGGCAGAGGGGUAGGAGCCACAAUUUGUUAUUUUUGUCACCUAAUGGAAAAAUGGAUUCAUGUGUAACUUUUCUUUGGAGUCUCUUGGUUCUGAGCAGAUGGCAGAUAUUUAAUACACAGCUCUUGAAUGUGUCAAUGAAUCAUGGUACCCAUCUGGUACAGGCAAAUUCUACACUGGGCAUUGUGGUUGCUUCUGUAAAAUAUAUUGCACGUCUCUCUUCCUGAGAAAAAGCAAUGGUGUCUGAGGGAACAGCCUCAGUUAAAGAGAGGGGUUUGGCUAACUAUGGGUAAUAGCAACUUCUUUUCCAGAGCCUGGAAAAGAAAUGGUUAUGUAAACCUUGAUUCUGACCCAGGAGACAGGAAGAAAGAUUCCAAGAAUCUUCUUGGUUCUUUUAUAUAUACACCUUUAUUUAUUUUUAUGUGGUACUGAGGAUUGAACCCUGGACCUCACACAUGCUAGGUGAGCACUGAACCACAACACCAGCCCCUUCUUCUUAAUUCUUAAGAGAGAGUUGUAGCAGCUUGGGGGGCGGGGGGAUGGGCGGGGGNNNNNNNNNNNNNNNNNNNNNNNNNNNNNNNNNNNNNNNNNNNNNNNNNNNNNNNNNNNNNNNNNNNNNNNNNNNNNNNNNNNNNNNNNNNNNNNNNNNNNNNNNNNNNNNNNNNNNNNNNNNNNNNNNNNNNNNNNNNNNNNNNNNNNNNNNNNNNNNNNNNNNNNNNNNNNNNNNNNNNNNNNNNNNNNNNNNNNNNNNNNNNNNNNNNNNNNNNNNNNNNNNNNNNNNNNNNNNNNNNNNNNNNNNNNNNNNNNNNNNNNNNNNNNNNNNNNNNNNNNNNNNNNNNNNNNNNNNNNNNNNNNNNNNNNNNNNNNNNNNNNNNNNNNNNNNNNNNNNNNNNNNNNNNNNNNNNNNNNNNNNNNNNNNNNNNNNNNNNNNNNNNNNNNNNNNNNNNNNNNNNNNNNNNNNNNNNNNNNNNNNNNNNNNNNNNNNNNNNNNNNNNNNNNNNNNNNNNNNNNNNNNNNNNNNNNNNNNNNNNNNNNNNNNNNNNNNNNNNNNNNNNNNNNNNNNNNNNNNNNNNNNNNNNNNNNNNNNNNNNNNNNNNNNNNNNNNNNNNNNNNNNNNNNNNNNNNNNNNNNNNNNNNNNNNNNNNNNNNNNNNNNNNNNNNNNNNNNNNNNNNNNNNNNNNNNNNNNNNNNNNNNNNNNNNNNNNNNNNNNNNNNNNNNNNNNNNNNNNNNNNNNNNNNNNNNNNNNNNNNNNNNNNNNNNNNNNNNNNNNNNNNNNNNNNNNNNNNNNNNNNNNNNNNNNNNNNNNNNNNNNNNNNNNNNNNNNNNNNNNNNNNNNNNNNNNNNNNNNNNNNNNNNNNNNNNNNNNNNNNNNNNNNNNNNNNNNNNNNNNNNNNNNNNNNNNNNNNNNNNNNNNNNNNNNNNNNNNNNNNNNNNNNNNNNNNNNNNNNNNNNNNNNNNNNNNNNNNNNNNNNNNNNNNNNNNNNNNNNNNNNNNNNNNNNNNNNNNNNNNNNNNNNNNNNNNNNNNNNNNNNNNNNNNNNNNNNNNNNNNNNNNNNNNNNNNNNNNNNNNNNNNNNNNNNNNNNNNNNNNNNNNNNNNNNNNNNNNNNNNNNNNNNNNNNNNNNNNNNNNNNNNNNNNNNNNNNNNNNNNNNNNNNNNNNNNNNNNNNNNNNNNNNNNNNNNNNNNNNNNNNNNNNNNNNNNNNNNNNNNNNNNNNNNNNNNNNNNNNNNNNNNNNNNNNNNNNNNNNNNNNNNNNNNNNNNNNNNNNNNNNNNNNNNNNNNNNNNNNNNNNNNNNNNNNNNNNNNNNNNNNNNNNNNNNNNNNNNNNNNNNNNNNNNNNNNNNNNNNNNNNNNNNNNNNNNNNNNNNNNNNNNNNNNNNNNNNNNNNNNNNNNNNNNNNNNNNNNNNNNNNNNNNNNNNNNNNNNNNNNNNNNNNNNNNNNNNNNNNNNNNNNNNNNNNNNNNNNNNNNNNNNNNNNNNNNNNNNNNNNNNNNNNNNNNNNNNNNNNNNNNNNNNNNNNNNNNNNNNNNNNNNNNNNNNNNNNNNNNNNNNNNNNNNNNNNNNNNNNNNNNNNNNNNNNNNNNNNNNNNNNNNNNNNNNNNNNNNNNNNNNNNNNNNNNNNNNNNNNNNNNNNNNNNNNNNNNNNNNNNNNNNNNNNNNNNNNNNNNNNNNNNNNNNNNNNNNNNNNNNNNNNNNNNNNNNNNNNNNNNNNNNNNNNNNNNNNNNNNNNNNNNNNNNNNNNNNNNNNNNNNNNNNNNNNNNNNNNNNNNNNNNNNNNNNNNNNNNNNNNNNNNNNNNNNNNNNNNNNNNNNNNNNNNNNNNNNNNNNNNNNNNNNNNNNNNNNNNNNNNNNNNNNNNNNNNNNNNNNNNNNNNNNNNNNNNNNNNNNNNNNNNNNNNNNNNNNNNNNNNNNNNNNNNNNNNNNNNNNNNNNNNNNNNNNNNNNNNNNNNNNNNNNNNNNNNNNNNNNNNNNNNNNNNNNNNNNNNNNNNNNNNNNNNNNNNNNNNNNNNNNNNNNNNNNNNNNNNNNNNNNNNNNNNNNNNNNNNNNNNNNNNNNNNNNNNNNNNNNNNNNNNNNNNNNNNNNNNNNNNNNNNNNNNNNNNNNNNNNNNNNNNNNNNNNNNNNNNNNNNNNNNNNNNNNNNNNNNNNNNNNNNNNNNNNNNNNNNNNNNNNNNNNNNNNNNNNNNNNNNNNNNNNNNNNNNNNNNNNNNNNNNNNNNNNNNNNNNNNNNNNNNNNNNNNNNNNNNNNNNNNNNNNNNNNNNNNNNNNNNNGGUUUGAGAAGUAAGGAAAGUGAGCCAUUAAGUGUGGAGAUUCCUUAUUGGUUGACUGAUGUAUCUAGUUUAUGCUAAUUAGAUAAGCUGUGUGGAAUGUAUAAAUACUGCUCCUGUCCUGCAAUAAACGGCUCCCACUCCUGCUGUAUCAACAUACACAAGUUAUUCGUCACCCCCCCCCCCCCCGGUUAUUUUGCUGCAGCCUGACUGCGGCAGCUUGAGGCUACUAAAUUGCUUUCCAAGGUGUUUAUUCCCAUUGAAGUUCCCACCAGCAAAGUGCAAAUGUGUGUGUGUGUGUGUGUAUAUAUAUAUAUAUAUAUAUAUCUUUAAAUAACUUUUUCUUCAUAACUGGAGCCAUUCAUGUUUCAAUUGUGAAUUGCCUGUUCUUAUCUUUGCCUAUUCUAACGUUGACUUAUCUUUUCCUGUUGAUAGUAAUACUAAAAAUUGCAUAAGUUUUAAAGUAAAAAGGGUCAUAUUGACUCAUGAUUCUGGUUCAAGAUGGAGGGACCCCAUAUGCUGGUCAGAAUCACAGUAUGGUCAGGGCAUCUUCCAGUGAUCAGCAGGUAAUGUGUGUGAGCAUCUAGAGCCUAGAAGGUCCCUCUUCUCAUAAAGUGACCAGGAUUCAGUGGUGAAGCUCCACUCCUGCCAUGGACUGAGCUGCUUUUCUCCCUGGGGCCCUCCCCCAGUGAUGUUCUGUCUCACCUGGGGCCCAGAGUAAUGGAGUCUGCUAUCUAGGGACUGAGAUCUCUGAAACUAUAAACCCCUGAGAAACUUUUCCUCCUCUAAGUUGUUCUUGUCAGGUAUUUUGGUCACAGUAACACAAAAUCUGACUAAAAGAGUCAAUAUGUCAAUCUUUCUCCAGAACAAUACAGGAACUUAGAACACUUUAAAUUGAAUCAGUGCCUUCUUGUUUUGCAUAUUACUUUUGUACGACUUUUAAUUUUUCCUUUCUUUUUACCUCUAAAUCGUGCCAUUAUUAACAGUGUUAUAGAGUCAAUUCUAAUUCAGAUUUAUCCCAUGUUUACUAAUUUAUUUGUUCAUUAUUCCUUCUUGCCUCUUAUUCCUAAUUUCUAUGUGUUAAUUAAAUAAUCUAUGCUCAACAAAAUUAACAUUCAAAAAUGAAGGUGUUAAAAAUAAAACAGUUAGAACAGGGUCUAAUCCACAGAAGGGCAGUCCCUCAAGUAAAGAAAAGUGUAAGGCAGGUUAAAGUACAUUUCUAAGUGGGCCGGGGGGCUGCUCUUCUUGUAGACUCUGCUUUAGCCAAUUCUAGACAUACUACCCCAUUUCAGUUCUUCAUUUCUUAUCCUUUCCAACUAUACCUUCUCCGUCCCCAAGUCUCAACAACAAUCACUGAUUCACUAGGAUAGAAGGUUAAGAUCAGAAAUGGGAAGGGAGGAACUCCUUUCUUUCACAUUUUUUAUUGGUGCAUUAUAGUUGUUCAUAAUGGUGGGAUUUAUUGUUAUGUAUUAGUACAUGCACACAAUAUAAUAGUGUAAUUUGACCAAUAUCACUCCCAGUACUUCCCCCUGGAAUAGAAGACCUCUUGAGUUUUUUCAGACUAUCCCAUGUCAAAGCAUCUGUAGCAUUCCCCUCUAAGAGAUGGCCCUACUCUCUUGAAGACCAGAUAGAUCACAUAAGGUUGCAAAGUAAUUUGAUUCUGGAACUCAGACCUUCCAGUGCUCCAGGACAUGAUUCUUUAAAAUCAUACAGUCAUCAAAAAGCCUCAGUACCAGCUGCAUGGAAAGAGACUCUGCAGCUCUCACUUAAUUUUGGUUGCAUUACCUCAUUCUAUACAUCAUUCAUGACAAGCAAGGAACCACAGGGCUCCCUUCGCUAAAUACUCUUGUCCUUGACCCAGCUCUAAUUGAUUUGGCCAUUUACUUCAUAAAUGUGUAAAUCCUGUAGCUGAGAGAGCUUGUGCAAAAGUUUCAGUGCAGUGGGUUCCCUCCUGGUUGUCACAACAAGCAAAAGAAUCCAAGGGAAAUAGGAAUCCUGACCCACUGCCGUUUUCCUGUCCUUCCCUUGUGAUCCCCAUUGCCGUUUUCCUGUCCUUCCCUUGUGAUCCCCAUUGCCAUCGCUCUGGUAACUAAGAUGGAAAGAGUGAGCGAGGAGUUUGUUUUUUUUUUUUUUAAUUGCCUUUGUAUGGGCUAUUUAUGUCUUCCAGCUUGGUACUUUUCCUUGAACUCAAAGAGAGCACUGAGACAGACUGCAGCGUGACUCCUGCACCCCACAAACAUGAAUACAUUUGCACUUCAGCAGCUGCUUGUGCUGGGAAGGAACCAGGAAUUUUGGGGGCCCAUCCAUCUUUCUUGUGUGUCAGGGCAGUAACUCAAGAGCAUGUGACCUUGGGCCUGGAAGUGAGGCGGCACUCUCCCAUGUCCUAGAGGAACAGUACAUUGAGGAUUUUGUCUUGUCUAUAGACACAGCUCUUCUACCUGUCUUAAUUACCAGGGCUUCAAAACUUUCCAAGAAGGAAGGAAGAUGGAAGCAAAGGAUUCAUUCUGGAACUGCAGAAGAGUGGCAGCAUUUGGGGUUGGAGGCAGUAGAUACUUAGAACUGAACCAGGAUUUUCUGUCCCAUAUUGAAACACAAUUAGGCAAAGGAGCCUUCUCAGCUUAGACCCAUUCCAAUCAUCUGUACCCUCAACACUUAAUAAAGCAUUGGAAGAAUGGAGGAGCUGCAAGAUGCUGAAUCACCAGAGCAAGAUUAGAUGGUGUGGGCUGGGGUUGUGGUUCAAUGGUAGAGGACUUUCCUAGCACAUGUGAGGCAUUGGGUUUGAUCCUCAGCACCACAUAAGAAUAAAUAAAUAAAAUAAAGGCAUUAUGUCCAUCUACAGCUAAAAAAAAUUAUUAAAAAAAAAAAGAUUAGAUGAUGCCUGUGUACUGUGAAUGAGCUUGAAAGCAAAGGUAUACAUUUUAGAAAGAGUUUCAACAUCAAGGGUCAAGCAACAGGGGUUUUGUAUUUAGCUAGGAGUGAAGCAAAGUUUUUAUUUCUUCAGAAUUCCAAUAAGAAAGGUUUCAUUUCUGAAGUGUUUGGGAGCACAGCAGUCUUUGCCUGACACUUGCCACAGUGGGAUAAUAAGCAAGGCAUGAAAGUGUCACAAUUGACUGGUAUUUUUCCCAAACUACGCAAUGUACUUUGAAAACCAAAGAAAGAGCCUAGCCAAAAAAAUACAUAUUACUCUGUUUUCAAAAGGACUAUUUUUAUAAUUGCUUAAGUGAAAGGAGCCAGAAGAGAGGUUUACUCGACUAGAUCAUCUCUUGAGCCCUCUUCUCAUGGAGGCCACUCCAUGGAAUUAUAGAAUUCAUGAAAUUAUAGAUUCCAGGAGAAUCUAUAAUUCAGAAUCACUCUCCAUCUACCCCUGGGUCCUACUAAAUUCUUAAUUCUUGUAUUAUGUAGACCUUAAAAUCAAUCACUGGAAGAAAGUCUCAAAGUCAGCUUAAGGUUAAUUUCCCUCAAGAAAGUCCUGGUUUCUCUUCCCUUGGGACCUCUCUGUCCUCACUUCUUAAUCAUUUCUGUCUUCCUCCAGCCUAACCCUAACUAGAUCUUUCCUACCAACAUUUGCCCAGGAACUGGCAGAGUCAAUGGGAAAGCUCUUUAAGAAUAUAAUGUUUGCUAUUAAUAGCAGUGACACCGGCCAUUGAGAGUCAAGGCAGCCAAGCAAGGAGAUCUGUCAGCCUGGAUUAACUUUCCAGCACCUGGGAGGUAGGAGUUAUUUAUACAUAAAAAUAGAAGAAAAAAAAAGUCUGCCCCUCAUAAGCCCCUGGUGUUUGGGAAGGCUUCCAUGGAUUCACAUCCAAAGAUAUUUCCCAACUGUCCUCCAAGCCCAGCAGCAAACUUUUUUAAAAAUCUGGAAUUAAUGAAAGGAAGGCUUCUUUCAGACUGAAUCAAAAUCCAUGAUUAUGUGGACAUGUAUUCUGUCCCGUGGGUUUCCCAUCAUUUAACCAGAUCCCCAGGAAUCUAUAUCAGAAGGCACAUGUGUCACAGCAUACUCUUGGAGUCACCUAUCAAAGUUAUCAAUGAGUCUUUUACUAGAGAAUGGUCCUUGCCUUCUACUAUACUCUCUGGGCCUCCAAAAUCCCACCAAGAAACGACCAUGCAUUCUCUAUGUUGAAGGCCAAAUUUCACUUCUCACCCCUGGUAGGAUUUCUUUUCUCAUCAUAGCACGAACUACAAGAUUCAAAUCAAAAUCUUUUCAAAUAACUCUGCAUUUUACAGGAGCAUUUUGAGGUUGAUUUUGCUAAGUUCCUGGGUUCUAGAAGCCAGAAUUCAAGAUGCAUAUAGAUACUUGUUGCCAAGUUUAGAGGUUAGGUGACCACAGAUGUAAUUCAAGCAAUAAAAUUAUAUAAAAUAUUCACACAGGCCCUAUUUUGGGGCCUCUUUGGAUUAGGUCACCUUGCGCUUCAAUGGUCUCUGAUCCAGAGAAGCUUAAAGUACCAUAGUACUGAAAAUUUUCUUUCCAAUAUCUCAUGUACUGAGGUCCACACUCACACACCCUGGAUGUCUUUGGGAAGUGGCAGCCGUAUUAUGUGAACCAGUAAAAUAGCCAGAGCAUUUUUCUGCACUGUCCAGCCUUUCAACUCCCAGUUCUGAUCUUCCAAUUGCAAUGAUUCUUGCCUUCUAGGGUGUCAGGAAUUAGGAGACUAUCACCAUCUCCCCACCUCUUUAGGACCUUUCAUCUUUCCCCUGAUCCAAUUCCUUGAGUCCUUCUCACCUCCAACUACUUUUUUUUCCUUGUCCUUGUCCUUCUCCAAAUUCCCUAAGGUUCUAUGCCCCUAAAAUUAGCUUUAUAAAAUUCAAGUGAUCCUCCAGAUGCUUUCUCACUGAGAAGCUGAGAAGCCAGCUGUCACCUUUGGUGUCUGUUACGCCAUGACUCUGGGUACGUGUCCCAAAAUAGGUCUGGCCUUUUGUGUUGCCUUGUCUCAUUGCCGUGCGGCUCCUCAGUCACUAUCUACUAUCAUCCCAGCUCCCCUUUGGCACUGCUGCUUUCCAGGUUUGUCUUCUUUUUGAGAAAAGCCAGAACUUUCUUGAGGGAAAUUAAUGUUUCACAUUAUUUUCUUUCAAACUUGAAUAAGCUCCUGGUCAGUAUUCCCAGAAAGAAUGUGUCUUGUCACCCUGGUUUGGAAAGAGCACCUAUCUCCAUGAAUUCUUCUACCAAAGGAGUUCAACUCUGGAAGAAAAAAAAAAGCAAGAAUUUUUUUUUUUUUUUGGUCAUUUUAGACUCUGUUAGUACAUCCAACAAUGUACUAACAGAGAAAGCAACUUAGCAAGCAAGGUAGGAUCAACCACCCUGGAGCUGUGGAGAGAACAUUUUCCCCACUAAAAUAAAUUCUCUUAGGAUUACAUGACCAUGCCCUGGGCUUCUUCUUAAGGCUUUGUUGCUUGGGAACUCUGCUUUCUUCUCUAUUCCUCCCCCACAAUCUGUCUUAAUAUCCUUUCUGGGAGCUCAACUAGGGCAGGUGUCAGGAAGCAAGUCCAUGGGGGCAGAGUGGCCUCACCCUCCUCCAGAGAAGUGCAGGAGCCCAUGCUUGGCUCUGAGGAAGUCCAAGAGGCAUUCAUUUCAGGAGCUUCCAGGCCCACAAUAUGAAUGCCCACAGCUUCAGGGGGAAAGACAUUCCUGUUUUAACAGGUCCUCGGUAACAGCACUGUCCACUUUAUACUUGUGAAAGAAAUCUAUUUCUCAGUCAUUAGCCUCAUUUACUUUAUUUUGUUCAGCCUCAAUGAUUUACUGGUUUACCACUAAGUGUAAAGUGAAGAAGUAAAGCAAUGGUAGCCUAGGAAGCACUGGUGUCUAGAGUUGAAUUAAUAGGCAGAAGCACAGCUAAGAAGUAUAUGAGAUCUAAAAUAAGUCGCUAACUUACCCUGUUUCUUCUAAUGUACCUAUACAGGUACCUAGGAAAAAAGUCCAUCCACUGUUCCAAAGAAUCAGUAAAGAACACUGGAAUUUACCAUAGCUCACCAUCACCCCCAAAAAACUAUUCCUGCCCCUUUAACAAUAUUUUAAGCAACAAGAAUCUUUCAUUGCCAGAUAAUUUGUCACUCUUAUUUGAGACUAAGGGACCACCUGAGGUCUCCACAUUAGCCACUGCAUUAAGUAAAAAGGUACAUCACAGCCAUGAUGAUUGGUGCUCAUGAUGUAAACCCCUGUGAGUGUGCGUCCUUCCAGAGUUUAUCUACAGAAACACAUGUAUUUCUCCCUUAGCAGCAACUGACUGUUCAAACAAUUUAAUGUUUUAACAUUACCAUUAAUAACAAUAGCCAAUAAUAAUUGUGCAUUUAUACAGUAACCUAUCAUUAAUUAAUUUCAUUCAAACCACAUGAAGCAUCUCCUGUUUAAAAUUAGUGAUCAGAAGCUCAAAGAGACAAAACCCCUUCACAAAACCACAGCAUUCAUGAGUACUUGAAUUUAGACUCAAACUGAGAUCUCCCGGUUACUCACUUCAAGGAUUUAAUCACAUUCUAUACUGUUGAUUUUUUUUUUUUUAGAAAGAGAGAGAGAGAGACAGAGAGAGAAUUUUUUAAUAUUUAUUUUUUAGUUAUCGGCGGACACAACAUCUUUGUUUGUAUGUGGUGCUGAGGAUCGAACCCGGGCUGCACGCAUGCCAGGUGAGCGUGCUACCCCUUGAGCCACAUCCCCAGCCCUAUACUGUUGAUUUUAAUCCAAAUGUUGAAGGCUAAGAGUUCGAAACUUUAUUUUCUUUUAAUAUUUCUAAAUUCUAUUAAUAUUACUACAGCAAGCAUCUUCAUUACAAAUUGACAUGAAAAUGAGGUUUCUACUAAUGUUUAUUUUGUUUCUUGUUCUAAUUAGUUAUAUAUGACAAUAGAAUGCAUUUUGACACACCACACAUAAAUGGAGUAUAACUUAUCAUUCUUCUAGUUGUACACAAUGUAGAAUCACAGCAAUCACAUAAUUAUAUAUAUACACGGGAUGAUAAUGUUUCAUUCAUUCUACUAUUCUUCCUACCCCCCAUACCCCCUCCCCUCAACUAACCCAAAGAACCUCUAUUUUUCCUUGGCUACUACUCCCUCUUAUUUUGAAUUAGCAUCUGCAUAUUAGAGAGAACAUUUGGCCUUUGGUUUUUGGGGGACUGGCUUAUUCAAAUUCUCUUUCCCCCAGCUACUUAAGAUGAUUUUUCACACAUUUAAAUACUUCAGUUAAAACCCAGUUUGUACGCAUUUCUCAGACUUCUGGAUAUAAUAGCACUUUCUGAGUGUGGCUCACCAUGAACAAAACUGGUUCAGGGAAUAAAUACCAAAUUACAUUUCAUUCUUUUUCCUUUAAGAAAAACAGUGGCUCAAUCUAAAUGGAAUGACCCCAGACCCACAAGUUGCAAGCUCCCAAAAGCUUCUCUGAGACUACCUUGGUGGUUGUAAUAGUUUGCUAGGACUGCCAUUAAUAAAGUCCUAGGACUUACCACUCACAAAGUGGAAAUUUACUCUCACUCUGGAGGCCAGAACUCUGAGAUCAAAGUAUUGGCAGGUUGGUUUCUGAGUCCUCUCUCCUGGGCUUGCAGACAGAUGUCAUCUCCCCAUGUCUUUCACUUGGUUUUCCUUCUGUGCCUGUCCAUGUCCUAAUUUCCCCUUUUUAUAAAUACAAUAGUCUUAUUGAAUUAAGGCCCACUAUAUGACCUCAUUUUACCUUAAUGACCUCUCAAAGACCCAUCUCCAAGUACAGUCCCAUUCUGAUACUGGCAAUUAGGACUUCAGCAUAUGAAUUUGGAGAAGACACAAUUCAAUGUAUAACUGUAUCCUAACAAUUUUCUUUUGCAAGGUGAGCUAUGUUGUAUGAUAUAAAUAUAUAUGCUUCUGACCAUGAUAACUAAGAAUUUAAACCACUACUUUUGCUAAGUGCUUUUGUGUUGUUCACCUGUGACAACACGGACAAGUUAUUUUGUGAGUGAUAAUAAAAACAAUAAUUUUUAUUGAAGCAAAAUAAAUUACAUUAUAGUUUCCAUCUUAGAAGACAUCACUGAUCUCAGUCCAAAAAAAAAUAGUAUAGAUGUUUUCACCAAUUACAGAUUGCCAAUUAGUAAAAACAAAUUCUAGAUUCCUAAAAAUUUUAUUGAGACCAAUAACAUCUUAAUUUCUUUUUUUAAGAAUUCUUUUUAGCUGUAGAUGGACAUAACUUUCUUUUUUUUUGGUUUUUUGGUUUUUUGGUUUUUGGAUUUGUUUUGUCUUGUUUAUUUUUAUGUAGUGCUGAGGAUUGAACCCAGAGCCUCACAUGUGCUAGGCAAGCACUCUACCACUGAGCCACAGCCUCAGCCCACAUCUUAACUUCUUGUUAUAUAUCUGACACUCAAAACUGCCCAACCUCUAAUGAAGAGAAGGCCCCGAAUAAUCUACCCUACAUAUGUCUCUCUACUUGGUAACCAUGUGAAGCUUCAAAAUGUCCCAACAAGAGACAAAUCAGAUAUGUAUGUUACGUCAAUCUCAAAGCUACCACUUAGGUGGUACCUACUGAUUUCACAUAUUAUGCUAGAAAUAAAUCAUUUGUCCCCUCAAAAUACUUGCAAGAGAGACAUCAUUGUCUCUGCUUUACCAGGAAGUAGACAGAACAUUAGAGAUAUUAAAUGAAUUGACCAAAAAUCACACAGUUGUUCAAGGUAGACCUUAGAUGUAAACCUAGACCUGUCUGGCUCCAACUUUUUUUCCCACUACUUCCUUGACUUCUGAAGAUAUGUAGCAGUGUACUUAGUCUAAGUGGCUCAAUAACUCAGAAUUUUUCCUGGGCCAUAAAAAUAUCCAAUCUAGUUCCAUCAACUGUUAGUUCAAGUAAAUAAAAUAACAAGAGCAUCUUUGUCUCUAUAUUUUAGCUGCAAAAUCAAUCAUGGGGUAUUUACCACUAGAAAUAAAAUCUACAUCUGUCUUUAGGUGAUGAUGAAUAUUGAGGCAGACACAUAUACUUUACCAGAAAAAAAGUUACCUAUAUGGAGUCAACCCAAAUAGUAAUCACGAGGUACUACGUAACAUCUCUGGACCAUGGUCUUGCAGACACUUAUUCCAUUGUUUAAUUUUGCUCACUUUGUGACUGGGCUUCCCAGUCAACAUGUUCUGAAAGAAGGAAUGCUUUCUAGUCCACCUUCAUUUUUUCUUGCAGUUCUGAGGGCCAUGACUUGAACAGGGCAAGUGCUCACCAAGUUUCAUGACUAGCUUUGAGGUCUUUACAAAAUGACCAAGAGAAGCUCAUGGAGGAUUUGGUCACAACCUUACAAUUAUACAACAAGUUAUCCAGGAAAUCCCUAAAACCAUUCCUCAGACCUGGUCCUGAGGAAUGGCUGGUGGUGCUCGUGAAGAGUGCUUUAUGACAACUACGAAAUUUGUUUAUGUAAGUAGGAAGUGUAAGAAAUCUUAACCAGUCCUAAUUGGGGAACUUACUCCUAAACAAAGCAGAAUUCUGUUUGGGGCCCUCAUCAAUCUGCCUGAGAGAGUUGACUGCAGCACUGACUCAGUCAAGUCUACCAGUGAGCUAGAAAUGCCUUCCUUUCCCUACUGCUGCUCUGUUGUCAUCUUUCUUCCAUAGCAAGACUUGAUCCUCGUGGUCAAAAAGUAGAUUUCUUGAAAUUACAACAACAGGGAAAAUCCAGAGUAGUAUGUCUAGAGUUUUAUUCUAAAUACAUAACUAGACACACCAUACCUCUUUAAUUAGAAGUAGAAACUCAAAAGAACAUACAAAGAUACUUGAUACUUAAGACUAAGCCAAGAGCGAGCCCUCCUGAUAAAUAUAAUGGGAAUCCUGAUGGCAGAGAUCAAAAGGUCUUCUUCAAAAGAAAUGCACGUGAAACUUGCAGUGAGAACAUGAUUGGAUGCAUAUUGGUAAAUCUGGUCUCUAAGGAAAAAGUAAUCUUCAAGAAGCCUGCUGUAAGACACAGAAUGCUUCUUUAGUCUGAUGUCUCCUUUCAGUUCAGCAUAUAUAGGUCUGCUCUGGGCCCUUCUAUUUGUCCCAGAAUGAUUCUGCACACCUUUUCACACCACAGAGCACUAAGAAAACUACAAAAUUCUUCAGCCUAUUGAGAACAGGCUUUAAAAAUUGAUAAUAGAUUGAGAUAAGCUAAUGGACUUACUGAUCCUUUAAGGAGGCAGAGAUAUUUUGAUGUAGAGUUAGAGGCAGUUUGAAAACCAAACAAGCACUAGGGAUUUAGAGCACUUGGGCCAUCUCGAGACUGGUUUGAAAUUCUCUCCUGUUUUCUGGGAGCUAUUAACUACAUCACAGAUUCAGGUAGAUUAGAAGACAUUGGCAUCUAGACACAGAAGCAGAGUUGGGGGAGGGAGCUACCAAUCCCCAAGGAAUAAGUCUCUGCUAAAAUUCUGAAUCUGAAAUUUUCUUUCCUCAGAAAACACAGGUUUGCAGAAGACACCAAUUUAGAUUCAGAAAGGAGGCCAUAAAUUUGGAUAAACAAGAUAAGCAUAAAAUAAGAACAAGAAGCCAGGCGUGAUGGUGCAUACCUGUAAUACCAGUAGCUUGGGCCACAGAGGCAGGAGGAUCAUGAGUUCAAAGCCAGCCUCAGCAAUUUAGCAAGGCCCUAAGCAACUCAGUGAGACCCUCUCUCUAAAUAAAAAUAUUUUUUAAAUGCUGGGGAUGUUGCUCAGUGGUUAAGCACCCCAGGUUCAAUCCCUGGUACCAGAUAGAUAGAUAGAUAGAUAGGAACAAGAAGAAAUCCAAGGUGCAAAAUAUGGUAGAAUACAGAACCUGGACUAUUCAAGUAACUUCUAGUAAUGCUUAUAUAUGCAUUAUCAUAGUGCAGACUCCAUAGGUAGCCUUCCAAACAGCAAUUCUAGAAAGUGAAAGGGUACACUAGGGCUCCAAAAGUGAGUCACGCCAAAGCCAUCACUGCACAGCUACCCACCCCUAUCAUCAAGGCAGAAAUGACUCCAUAUUAGCCACAACUUCCAUGAUCUCAUUAGCAAAGAUAUUAAGAAUCCGCCGUUCCUCUCAGAGUAAAGAUUGAAAUGGUGCCACAAAUUAUUUCACCCAGAACAUUUCACUUUUAAUGGGUGGAUGGGCAUGGGGAAAAAUAAUAUCCAUCUCCCAGUGGUAGUUUUCCUUAAUCUUUUUGGGAGGAUAUUUGUGUGAUUGAAAUGUGUCCUGAUGUAUGCUAGUCCAGAUAAAGUCCUAAAUGUGGCCUCCUGAAGAUUUGGAGAAUGGUUGAGACACUUUCCUUACAAGUAAGCAGAUUGACCAAAAGUCAACUAUGGUCUUAUACAAAUUAAAAGUUCAGGGAUGGAUCUAGCUUAGUGCAUAGAUAGAUUCAGGACUCAAAUAAUAUGAUAAAGAUUUGGCUCCCCUCACCACACACACACACACACACACACACACACACACACACACUUCAGUUAGCUCUGCCUUCCCAAGUCUCAAGUCCCACAUAUCUGUAUGAUGACAUUAGCACUAUGGACCUCUCAGGCAUCAAAAGUCCUAUUCCACAUACAAGUCUCAGCACAGCUGAUAUGGUCACAUGUUUACCUUCAAACCCAGACUGUGUCAGAGUCAGAGGGAACUGGGCCACAGACUGUUAGAAAAGUGGAGAUACAGCUAUGGUUAUCAUAAGAAAGGUUGAAUAGGGACUGCCAGAAACUAUGUAUGCCCACUCCAAUGAGCAAGUGGCCUUGAAGCUUAUGUUUGAAGAAACAGCUGAUCUUAGUUUGGAUAUCUCUCCAGAAAACAGAACCCAAGACAAAGGUUUGCAUGCAGGCCAUCUCUCUGCAGAAAUGAAUUAGGAAAUGGUUGGGAGCUGGGAAGGAUGAAACAGGAAAGAAGGAAAAAUCAAGGCAAGGAAGAUUGCAGGUGUUUAUAGAAGGAGGGACCCAGGAAGAGAGCACUUGCUGAUCAGCUCCCACAUUCCAAUGGUCAAGGAUUAUCUAUAGAUGUUAGUUCUCAUGUCUUGAUAGAUGUAGGCAAGAGAAUGGACUAAUGGUUCCUGAAAAUAUUCCACACUGCAAAGUCAGAAAAUCCUGAAAGCAGAAAGAGGGAGAUAGAUAGUAUAGCUGGUCUCCAUGGCAACAGUCAGGGUCAAAAGUAGGGCAAGAGGAUGUGAAGUAGGACACAAGAAUUCUUGGAUGUACCUUUCCUCCUGACACUUAAACUAUUUUGCUUUGUUUUGUGUGUCGUUUCUGGUUAAUUUUUAACCAAGAAUAACUGUAAAGGGAAAACACCACAGGGCUGGGCAUGUAAUUAUAUGAGGAACAACAGAGAAAAACCUGGGCUUGAAUCUUUACUCAGCCAUCAUCAAUUUCACUUAGUCUUUUAGUCAAUUAAACUAUCAUCAGUAAAACAUAAAUGUCAAUUAUGCCAACCUUAUGUGAUUGUUGGGAACAUUAUUAGUAUGUAAAGUCAUACUGUCACCUUAUUAAAUAUAUUAUUUCAUUUUCACUUUUUUUUUUGUACCAGGGAUUGAGCUCAGGGAUGCUUAACCACUGAUCCACAUCCCCAGCCCUUUGUUAUAUUUUACUUAGAGACAGGGUCUUGCUGAGUUGCUCAGGGCCUAAGUUGCUGAGACUGGCUUUGAAUUCACAGUCCUUCUCCCUCAGCCUCCCAAGCUCAUUUCCACUAUUCUUAACAACAAACAAGGCUUCAUAAAUUUUAAACUGUGUGUGCAAAAUAAAUGGACUUUUAUUAGUGACCUUUCUAACUACUUCCACUUCCCUUCAGUUUAUGCAGUUUACAAUUCAUGAUGUUUAAAACAACGCCUGAGCUAGGGAUGCAGCUGAGUAGUAGAGCACCCGCUUAGAAUGCGUGAGGCCCUGAGUUUGAUCUUCAGCAUCAUACACAUACAAAAACCUUUCAACUCAUUACAGAACCAAAUGUAUAUCACAUAAACCGAAAACAGAAAAGCUGUAAAAUGUCAUUGAUAAUGCUGCAGGAUUCACUAUCAAGAUUUCACCUAAAUUCUUUUUUUGGACUGGGGAUUGAACCCAGGGGUGCUUAACCACAGAACCACAUCCCCAGUCCUUUUAUAUUUUUAUUUUAAGACAGCAUCUUACUAAGUUGCUGAGGCUGGCUUUGAACUAUGAUCCUCCUACUUCAGCCUCCCAAGCUGCUGGGAUUAUAGGUGUGCACCACUGCACCCAGCUGCCCCAAAUUCUAAUCUCCUGAAAGCUAUCACCCAUCAUUUUUUUAAAAACCCACUCAAUCUAAAACAAGGGAAGAGAUAUUUUCUAUUCAGCAAUAUGGUAAUGCAGUUUCCAGGAACUUAGAAAAAAUAUAUAGACAAUACAUUUGUUAUCACUGACAGCAGCUCAAAUGCCUAAGCAUUUGCUUUCCACAGUUUUUAAAGAGCAUGCUGGGGGGGAAAAUGCUAAACCCAAAGAUGAUCCCAAAUCCUAGCCCCUGAGACAGCAUUGUUUCAGCCCAAGUGUUGAUUUCAGUCCCACAGGGCCUGUGUGGCUGUUCAGAGGCUUCUGCUGAACACCAUCAAAUCAUCAAUCUCAAUGUCCUCUCACCAUGGAAGAUACGAAGAUUCGGGCUUCUAAGGGACGAAAUGCAGAAAGCCAUCUCUUCUCUCCUUUAAUUUAAUUUAAUUUUGUUCUUCAAACUGAAUUUAAUCCUGAAGUGAUUUAAAUGUUUUCAGUAGAAAACCAAACCAAACCUGAGUGAGGGUGGACAGAGACGGCUCCUACGAGACUCCUGUGAGAGAAGCUUUUAAAUGCUCAAAUCUCCUUCAGUUCCCCAAGUACCCUAACUAACUAUACAUCAAAUUACAUCACUCAAUACAGCUAGAGCCAGUUUUCCAAAAGCAAGUUGAUUGCAAAUCAGUAUCUGCAGGUGUUAAGGAAAAGGUCUAACAUCCCCCUUUAAGCUAUCCUCAAAAGCUAUCUAAAAGGUGGAAUUCGUGAAUGUGACACCACCUACAUUUUAAGUCAUACGAGCUAAAUGUACUCUCCAAAAGCAAUAAAAUUCUACCCAGCUUUUCCUCCAUCAAGAACUAGUAGGCAAACAGACAAACUUCCUUACAGAUGGGAAAGAAACCAACAACUAGGUCAUACCUGUAAGAAUUUCCCAGCUCAAGUUUUAGGAAAAGAAAAUGGUAGGGAUGAUAGGAACUAUGAGCAAAAUCAUAAUUGAGAUGAAGGAAAAAAGACUCUACUGAAUGGGGGGAGGAGGAAGGAGAUGAUCUCAGACGAGUCAUAUACACUAAGGCAGGUGGGAGCUGGGCUGGACUGGACAGCACACAUCUUUCUAAUGAGAGCAGCAGCUACUGAGUUCCUGUUCCUGUGGUCACAUGUCUACUCUGGCCAAGCAUUGCCAGGUAGGUCUCUAUCAUCUCCAGCAUGGUUAAUCAGUUUGGCAGCUCAAAUUCUCAAGAGAGACAAUAUCAUUGGUCAGCUCAGCCUAGAUCCUGGUUUCCUGGGAGCAGGUAUCUGCUUCUAGUUCAGUCAACUGUGACAAGGGGGUCUGAGGAGAGACAGAACACAUGAUCUGUUAUCUACACCAGAAGAACUUGGAGAAAGAAGAGCUAAUUUAUUAGAAGUGGGAUAUGGGAGGGAUUGAUACAGCAAAGCCUGCCUCACAAACCUAAAAGGCAAAUUGCAGACUUCUGACAGCCAUGCAAUUAUUUCUGCCUUGCAUGAGACUCUUCCCACAAUUCCCCUGUAUGCAGAUAGAUGCUGUACUGAACUCUCCAAUCUUGCAUUCCUUGUUUCAGCCAAGAAGAGGAUGCAAAGUAAAUAAUAAUGCUUCACCUCCUGUUUCUCUAAACUGUUAUUAAGUCUGAACGUGUUUGGCCAAAUAGAAAGCUGCCUGAGAAGUUCAAUUGAAGAUGGAUCCAAAAUAUGUCAUGUUACCAAAACACUAUUGCUACAUUCAGCAUAUGAAGUCUGCAGUAGAGGUAAACUAUUUCAUGGCUGCAUCUAUCCAAGAUUAUCUUUCUAAACAGAGAAAAAGAACAAUGUCCCCAGAAAAUGAUGAAGCUAUGGAUAUCUAACCUGCUGCAGUAUUAUUCAUAGACUCUUAGCUUGGGAAAUUGAGGGCAAGGCUCAAGGGUCAGCAAAUUUUGACCCAGAGAAAAAUGGAGAAGGCUUUGCUGGUAUGCCUCCAAGAGACAGAAGAAUCAGUACCUCACUUUACAGAUGAAGAAUCUGAAACUCAGAAGGGUUUAGAGUCUAGUAUUUCCUAAUAGAAUUUAGGUCUUCUUCCAGUCGAGGGCUCUACAAAUAUCUGUAGCAGCUUCUUGGUUUGAGGUUAAAGAACCAGAAAGCAUAUGACAUUUAACUGUAAAAGCUACUUCUUUCUAAAGACAUCUGUCACUUAUCAAAAGUAGCCCAUGCCUUGAAAUGCAAUGACUGAAGAACAAUGUUUCUUGACUCAAUAGGAGCCUGUUUAUAAUUACAAAAUUACAUAGACACACUUUAAUUUAAAAAUCAAGAAAAUGACUUUACUGUGCUAUGAAACCUAUAUAAAAAUCCUGUCAGAGAAAGUAGUUUCUAGUUAAACUCUUGUUUUCAGAUACCUUUACUCUAAAAUUUCUUAGACUUAUUCUUUGACCACUGAUGACUUUUUGGCAAUCUCCAAAAAAAAAAAAAAAAAAGGAAAAUCCCAAACUACAUCCCUCAAACCUGAACACAUAAUACCAGUCCAGCCUGCAGUUGAGGGCAGAGUGACCAAGUCCCAUGACUCAAGUUUCUGUCCAUCUUUCAAGAACUUGGGGAGGGGACAUUGCCAGUGGUCCUAAAGGCUAUCCAGCCUAUCCCUCUCCCAUUAUCCCUGAAGAAACUGAGUCUUAAAGCAGACAAGUGACAGUCCAGGUCCAUAACCCAGUGGUAGGAGAGUUAGGGCAUGGUUCAGAAAGCCCAAAUGUUCAGUCAAUUGAAAGAGAGAUAAUUUUGAAAUUUCAAAUUCUGCCACAUAUUAUUUCCCAGACUGUGUUCCUGAAAACAUCAGUCCUCUAAGUAACUGAUUUAAAAAAUAGGAAAGUAUAAGAAUAAAGGAAAGGAGGGAGGGAGGAAGGGAAGGAAAACAGAAAAAAGAAAGUCGAUCCAGGGCCAAAGUACAGGAAAGGCAACAGACCACAUGCCCUUCUUGAAGAUUUAUAUCACACACUAGAGAAUCAGAGAAAGAAGCCCAGCAAUAAAGAAGUCUGUUUAACUCAAAACUCUUUUUCCAAGUCACAUCCAUUAAUGUCCUACAGACCUGGUGUUCUAGGAAACAUACAUUGGGACAUGCUGACUUAGUGAGAAGAGAAAUGAAUUUCAAAAUAAUUGGGCUGGAAAGUAAAGAAAUGGAAACAGCCUGGCUCAUGUCAAGCAAGAGUUCAGAAAUGGCACCAUGUCAUCUUCAUUUUCUUCCCCUGGCUCUUUUAUCCUGGGACUUGGGAAGAAUUGGAGAGUAAGGGUGUCCUUGAAUAGCAAGGACGAGGAGAAUAAAUUUUCUUCUUGAGUUUACCAUUAAAGGUUUGUGUAAAAGAGUAAAACACAGAUCUGCCUUUUCCACUUUUCUCCAUGGGUAUUUAAAUCCCUACCAGAAAUAAAAAGCUUAGAAUAGUAUUCCUACAUAUUUAUAACUGCUUUACAAUGAGCUACCAGGAUUUUUCCCUCUUAACGCUGAUAAAGUUACAUCCUACCUCAGAAACUGUGAGGGAAUCAAAUUUGGCCUUAUAAAUAAACUAAUUUAUAAUAUUUAAAAAAUAUUAAAGACUUUUUAAAAAAGGAAUAGGGGACACAAAUAUCCCAAACUGUGAAAAUGCCACAUUUUCAUACCCAAAUGAUUCAAAAUAGAUGAACAGAAUGCUUCCAAACUUUCUAAAAAUAUGCAUCUUCAGGCAAUAAAAAAAAAUCAAUCUAAAGGGUCAUUUAUUUCAAGCACCUAAAAGCCUGAUUUAGCACACCAAUGAGCCCACACUGCUGACUGGAUCUGGGAGACCAGGGCUGAAGAAAGGUCAUUCACACUCCUCCCUAACUCCUUAAUGAUAUGUUUAGCCAGGCUAAUUUUAGACCUGUCGGAAGCUUUUGAUUCAGUUAGCCAUAAGGUGUUGGUGACAAGUCUGUGGUCAAUGGCAGGCGUGGGUUGAGCUCCUUUUGAAGUCAAUUGGUGAGUUAAUUCCUGGAAGGAGAGUGUCAAUAGGUAGUCACAGGAACUGCUCAUGAUCCACAUAUCCUGGGAGGUCUUUUCUCCCUACCCUAUUUACCUAAUGUGGGCAGGAGGCUCUGGGAACCAUCAGGGGAAGAAACAUCUUUUUGAUGAUACCCAUCCCAUUACCACCUUUUCAAUUGACCAUUCGAAAUUAUCUUAUGCUUUCACUUAGUUCAUAACUAUUUUUAUUCAGGAAGAAAGUAGCUGGCUUCAGGUCCACCUGAAUAGGCGGAGUUGUGAUCUUAGGUUAGAGGAAAUGCUUUAAGGAUAUCAGAGGUAUCUUCAUCAUAGCUAUUUGGGGAUGGAGGCUCUCUGACAGGACUUUUAACAGAUGCUUGAACAUAGACAAGAAAAGCCUUCUUUUUUCUUAUAUCCAGAAAGUCAUGUGCCUACAACAACUUCCAGAAAAGGCUGUUCCUCUAGUUCACAUUUCACCUAGAAAUAGAUGCCCUUUUCUCUGCUUUGCCAGAUUUGGUUGGGCGGGGAUGUCAUUACCUGAAUUUCUUUAGCCUUGUAAGUUUUUGUACCAAUCAGCUCAGAGUGUACCAUGAGUGGUUCUAUUUUGUAUCAUGUGCAAUUCUGUACAAUAUAUGCUCUGUAGAGGUAUCUGUAGAAAAGAAAACAUCAAUGUUCCACUCAAAAACUCACCAGCCAAAGCAGCGGGGAAUGCCUUUAUCACUAUCACCUCCUAGAUUUCAACAAAUUCUGAUGUUGUAAUGGAACCUGGGACUAAUCCAUUACCACCCUCCUGUUUUUAUAGAAUAACACUUAAAUUUCUUUAAUGCACAUGAUAAUUUAGCAGAACCAGGAAAUGUCCACGGAGCACAGAAUCUAAAACUAUUUUUCUAAUUUUAUUAAUCACUCAUGUUCCUCAUCCUGGGUCAAAAAGUGUGGAGAACAGCAGAAAGAAAAGGUAGUGGGGAGAGGCAAGUAAAGGUGAAACAAUUAAGUGAGAAAACAGAAGUCAAUUAAGGAAUAAUCUCUAAUUAGAAUCAUACUUUUCUCCCCAACUGUUUUCUAUGUUCUUAACCUUUCACCAUAAAUCAGAUACCAGCCAGUCUCAGUGAAUAUCCUUGGUUAUCACACCUAAGAGACAAAAAGGCAGAAAAAAGGACUUCUACACGAGCUCUAUUAUCCAGCUUUGAAAUUCUAGAUGUUUCAGUGUUUCAUAUUGUAACUGAAUUUUGAAGUGCUCACCUCAUUGACAGUCCUGUGCUGAAUAUUUUCAUGUGCUAAGAACUCUGCUGCACACUCUAAGGAACAUGACUAUGAAGGAGACUUAGCCUUGCCUCUAGAAAUUUAGUUUAACAAGAGAGAAGAAAAACAUUCCUCCUGGUUACAAAUUCUAAAGCUGUCACAUAGCAUAGCACCAACUGUAACACAGAAGGAAUCAGAUGCCUUAAGAGUGGUUCAACCUGAGUGUUAUAGGGGAGCAAAGAAGGUGUUUGUAACUUCUAUUUAGAAAGACACUUUUAUCAAAGAGGUGGCUUCUUAGCCUUGGCAAUUUAGUGAGACCCUAAACAACGUAUUGAGACAUUGUCUUUAAAUAAUAUACAAAAAAGUUCUGGGGAUGUGACUCAGUGGUUAAGUGCCACUGAGUUUGAUCCCCAAUACCAAAAAAAAAAAAAAAAAACAGUGGCUUAUUGAGCUAGGCCUUGAAGAAUAGGAAGGGCUUAAACACAAUGAGAGGAUACUGAUUGGCGAAAUCUCUGGGAAAAGGAAAAGACACAAAGAUACAAAAAUAAUUUUUUUUAUUUACCUAUCUUAUUUUUUUAUUUACCUAUCCUCCAUGUUAACAAAACUGGUCCACUUGCUAUUUGCCAAAUAGAGCAAGUGGACCAGUUUUGUUAACAUAGAGGAUAGGUAAACAAAGGGACAUGGCUAGAAAAGUGUCUUGAAAGCCACAUUGUAGAGUAUCAAGAAGAGGAAGUUAAAAAGUUUGGUCUAAAUUCUACAGGAGAUGGGCAGCCACUGAAAACUUUUCACAGGGCCCAUCUUUGAGCAGAUUUAAUUAGACCCCAGUGAAUUAAAAACUAGAGAUGAGGGAUACAGAGAAAGGCAUCAGCUUCUUAGGAUGAUCCAAGCCAGAGAUAAAGAGCACCAGCAGUGAGAAUCUAAAAGAGGCAGAUUCACCAGACAUUACAGAUACAGAAAGAGCAGGAAUAAUUUGGUGUGAAGGCUAAGGAGCAUUUCCUACAGUCCUUGUAAUGAAAAUAAAAUCCCACCAUGCCAAAUGGUAACUUGAAAGUGUCAGAUUGUGAACCUAUCACUGAGAUGUUCUCACUGUUGCUCAAUACUGUUGACUAAUUGGAUGGUUUUGCUUUUAUAGGUUGAUAAUGCUUCAUCUGUUGUAAGAUUUUUUUAAGUUGCAUCAUCUCUACCAUAUGUUUUCAAAGUGUACAAGACUAGAAUAAGCAGACAGACACCAGAUAUCACAGAUAUUUCAGACUAAAGAAAGACAGGGGAGGUCUUGUAAUCUCUUUCAUGUAUAAAUACAGCAAUAGCUAUAUAGUGGUAGACCCAUGUCUGUUGAAUAUAAAGGAGAUAAUCUAUUAAUACUAUCCAAAUCAACUAUCUUAUUAUACCAUGUCCUUCCUCUGUGUCAAAUAUAUACCCUGUCUCUAUUCACUUUUACAUCACUGACGUCAAUAAUGUCAUUUUAAAAAUAAAGAAAGAAUUAAUAAAGAAUUCAGUCUGCACAUAACAUUUCUCUACCACUUCAUCACUAAACAGCCUCAAUCACCUAGUCAUAUGCUAAGGAACUGGGAGCAGGAGUUGGGGAAGUAGGAUGCAUAUUUUUAGAAAGUUUGGAAGCAUUCUGUUCAUCUACCUACUCUGUGGUAGAGGGCAGGGUGUGCUUAGCAUGUGCAAGGCCCUGAGUUAAAUCCCCAGCAGGGGGAAAAGUGUGAGGACAAAAAAUAAUAGCCUUUUCAUCUAGAGUAGCUUCUAAUGCAGACACAUUGUUGACUGUGUUCCUCGGGUAGCCUUCCCUGAUAAACUAGAAGCAAACUAAACCCUGGCCAGAGAGUUCUUUAUUUGAUUUAGAAUUUCUUUUAGUGUAAAACUUGUUCUCUGCUUCCCUCUUCCGUUCUUCUCUCCCUUGAUACAUUGCAAACAUUUAGUGAGCACUUAGUAUAUGCUCAGCACUGGGCCCAGUGAUGCAGAUACAAAGACAAAGUCAACCAUCCUCUGUUUUGUGCAAAUAUUUAUAAAAAAUAUGUGCCAUGUGGAAUGCCUCCCUUAUAAACAGGGGCCAUCUUUACUUAUAGCUGUUGACAUCUGAACACUAGCACUUCAUGGUGGUUACAUAUGUGAAAUUCAGAGUUCUAGGACAAGGAUAUUAGUGCCAGCUGGACCACGUCCUAGCUAUGCAAACCUGGCAAGUUAUCUAAACCCUCUGAGCCUGUUUCCCUCUUCUGUAAAAUAAAGAUGACCAUACUAGUACCAACAUCAGAGGGUUCUGGUAAGAAUUAAUGAGACAAUUCAUGCAAAAACAUUAGGACAGCACCUGCUAUACACUAAAAAGCACUAGAUAAAAUAUUAUCAUUAUUUGCAUUCAUAUCUGACCUGUGAUGAAUCUGAAAAUGACCUCUGGUGGCUGUGAUGGUGACUGUCCUUUUAGCAAGUGAGAAUGAAAGACUCAGAAGCAUUUCACAGAUCGGUCUAGAAGUAAUGUCCAUGUCAGUUUGCAUGUCACAGGAGAAAUGCUUCUUCAGCCUGUACCAUGUUUUCUGUUUUGUUUCUCUCAUUUUCUUAUACCAGAAAAUUUUCAUCUGCUCCUGAUGUUUAGUCUCUAUUUAAAGACACAGCAUUCAGUUUGCAAAGCCAGUGGUUCUCUGCCAAUGCUGUCACCACCCAGAGUUGAGGCUCUGAAGACCUGCUCUGCAGCAAGCAGUGAAUUAAAACCACUUGUGUCCCAUCCAGACAGUUGCUGUAUUCUGGGCAGGUUACAGGAUCAAGCCCCAAAUGAGGAAUAUAACAGAAAUCAUAGAAGCAGGCAAAGGAGAAAUUAUGUUCCUCAUGCAAACACUCAGAGCAAUUAAAAAUGAAAAAGAGUGAACUAAAACAGAAUAUUGCAGUGGGGAGGAGGUAAAAUUCUUUUGAAAACAAAGACUGUGCAUCUUAGUCUCUGAGGCUGUAGAUCAUGGCUUAGAUGAACUUAUGGAUGUUUUCAACAUUUUUAAUAAACACAACCAACAGCUGGACUCUAGUUGCCCAUUGCCAGGCAGGCUACACUCCAGGGGGCUGGAAUGCAUAAUCAAUCAAGGCAGGUGGCAGGAAAUUGGUUAUCAGGGAACUUGUACAUACUUCCGCAAGCCAGUUGCACCUAAUAAAGUUUUCAAGGUGACUCUGACUUUCUUUAGUGUUCCUCACCCCCAGCUUCCUCCUGGGCAUUUUGAGCCUUGUUACCCCAACAUUCCAGGAAAGGCACACUCUCCCUCAAACACCACACCCUCUUCUCAAACAUUAUCUGCAGAUGCAUAUUUAGCAUUGUAAAUUACAUCACCACCUUGCUGCAGAUUGCAGACCUAGACAAUAAUCGCCCAUGUGGGCCAAGGCGAUCAGGCAACCUGGAGCAGCAUGCUGUCCAAAUUGAAAGGGGGCAAAGCCUCUUGCCAAGCAGAUGCUUUUGAACCCAGCAGAUCUAGGAAUUCUCUUUUGUUUUAUUUAUUGCCUUUAAAAAAUGCAGAUAGGAAUAUGAGAUCUAGAAGUUUUCCGUGCUACACAAUUUAUGCUAGCUCAUUACCUCCUCCUAGACUCCAAGGCUUUGUAACGGAAAUUGGCUCGGAUUUCUGAGAUGGGCAUUACAUCAUAGUCUUCUUUUAGCACAUUAUGUCAUCCCUGCUGAGACGCAUUAUCUAGGGUUGGCUCAGCAGUAGCAAUUUUUGUGGGCCGACUGCAGUGUUCCCAAAGAACUGCUGGGAACCACAGAUUGAAAUCUGAAACAUUUAUCUUCUAAAAAGCUGAAAAGGGGGAAAGAUGUUCACAUCGGACCCCAUUUAUUUUCUUUAACCCUCUCUUGUCUUGAUUCCUUUUAGAUCACAUUGCUGUAAAUGUCAACAAUGGACAAUGUGCUAAGUCUGUGCAGGGCCAAUCACUGUGAGAUAAUCACUAUUAAGGGUGCCUGAAAUACUGUUCCCCAUGAAGGGCUAAUACACCUGACAUGGCCAUACAUACAUCAAGGGAUGCUGCAAAAUCAUUCAAAGGAACUACCUAGCACUUACACAUGGCUAACACAAAACACUCUAAUUCUUAAGUUGUUUAAGAAAAUAAUAUGUGAAUGAGACUAUCUGCACACACAUACCUAUACUUGCUUAUCCUCCUGACCAUGUCGUGGCCACAAAGACAAAUUCUAGAAGAUUUGUAUUAGAAAUCAUUUUUAUGCCAGGAACUGAACUGAUAUUAUCUCUUCUCACUUCAACCAUGAAAUUAGAAGCCCAUUUUGCAUCACUCUAUUCUAGGCAGGAUUAGAAACCAUUGCACAGAGGGAAUAGAAAGAUGCUUUUAGGAUAAAGCAAAGAUAUUCCCAAACCCCAGAGAAUCCCAAUACCUCUCUCAUCACAAAAGCAUAAUUAUGGGGGGAAAGUUUCUAAAUACUGAAAGGAAAUGGAAUACAUUCAACCAUGACUAAAUUACAAUUCCCAGCUUAUACACCAACUAAUGAGAUUUGCUGGGUGGGGAAUAAAUGCUGGAAGAGGCACUAAAAGAGUGUAUGAUAUUCCUUUUCUCUACCCACCUGUGUAUUUUUUUUCAAAUUUUCUUCAUAGUGAAUACCUUUGUGCUCUCAAUUACUUUUUGUGACUCUCAAAUGGUAGAUACAUCAAAACAAACAGUCUUAUAAUUAAUCUGGAGGCAAAUAAAGCUAACAAUUGGCCUGGCCCAAGAGCCUUAUUCCUAUUUCUACCUUCAGUGAUUUUUCAUCAUAUUCUAUUCCAAUGCCCACCCCACCCCACCCCUCGCAAGGAUCAUAAAACAAGAUGGCAGGCUUUAUUCUUUCACUUCAUCCAAGGCAAGGCCUGUGAUUAGUCCAAGAAUUCUAAUGGUGGACAGGAUCUCUGGCCCCACACUCCUGAUAUGAAAGUUACCUGGGUCACAUUCAGCAACCCUGUCCUUAGCACUUCUUCUCUCAUGUUUCAUUAUCUGUUGCCAUUCAUCCUUAGCUCCUAUGAGGGGCCAGUGUAAAGACUGAUGGAAUGACCCACAGAGGGCUAUGAAGCUUUCAGAUGGAUGGUGCUAUAUAAAAGAGUGUUAAACAGCUAAAAGCAUUUGCAAAAAUCCCUUUAUCCUUCUCCCUCCUUUCCUUUGUCCCUUCAUCUUCACCCGCUCCCCCAGCUCUAAGAAUUUUAUGAUCUCAAGGCCAAAAUGCUUUAAAUCUUAAUAACUACAUGUGCCACUCGGGAUACUGAAAGGAAACUAUAUAUACUCUACUUGACUCAUUCCAAGCUUUUACUGCAGCCAAAGUAAUUGCUGUACAAUUUAAAAAUUCCACUGAAAAAGCAAGUAGCCUUCCACAUACUAAGCUGAUUUUCGUGUAAGUUGUAAAGUAUUAAAUGACCAUAACUUUUAUUCACUAAUGAAAUUACCUGACCUAAUCACUCCCUUUCCCUUUGUAGAAGGUAAGAAGGAGGAUCCAUAAGCCCUGAAGGAUGCAUGCCUGUCUCUAGAUUCCAGCUGGCUAUCAGUCUCCAAAGACACACUGAGGGAGGAGUCAAGUAUCACUUCUCCCACUUCUUCCUGUGACCUGUGCGUCCCAGUAGGCUAUGCCAAAUCCCGCAAUAAGAGUUUGUGACGUGCUUAGAAGCCUGUAAUUCAUUCUUCAAUCAGACCAACUGUGGAACAGAACUCUUAUGCUCUUGCCCCAUAAAAGGACAAUGACUAGUCAUGAGAGUCUAUUGGAGGAGCUCUUCCUGUUGCAGGGAAAGGAAAGCAAGCCCAGUAUCUGUAUAUAGUUCUUAAGAAUAAGUACAUAAUUAGGGAGCCAGAUUGCACAGUGAAAAAUCAACUGUUCCCUAAAUGGAUGCCCACCCCCCCGCCGUCAAAAAAAAGGGUGGAGGGUAGAAGUGACUGAAUCAGAAGGGGAAGAUCGUGCACCCAGCUCAUUGGCUCCUGAUAUUACAAUAAAACCAAAGCUUGAAGUGAAGUGGGAAUUCUAGGUUUGUCUUCAGCCUCCUCCUCCAGCUGCCUCAGCACCAGUCACUAUGCUUGAGAAGCUUGCAGAAGGAAAACAAAACAGUAUGGAUCUUUCAGGCUGUCCUGGGCAGAGGACAUGUGGAGAAUUGGCAUAGCUUCUCUUCCCUGCUUCCAGAGUCACUACCAGGAUCAGCUAAUGCAUAGAGAAAUAAACAUUUGUUUUCUCAUUGAAGGUCUUUAUCCUGCUGUCUAUCAUCAAUUCCAGAACACCUGCUGUCUCUACCACUAGAUCUCUGGGUGACCCCGGAGUCCCACUGCAAUCUCUUGGGUGCUUGUGGCAUUUCCUAGGCUGCAGAGUCUUCCCUACUUCUCAGAGAAAGCUCAUAACAACAUACUUUUAUGCCUGUCUUCUCAAGGGUACCAAAAAACGUCUGCAAGUAUAGCAUAGAGAUACAGAGCACAAAAACAUCCAGAUUAUAGUUCAGGCCAGAAAGACUAUAAAGAAGUCAGCUUUAUUCAGGUUUGGUGAAAAGACACACAGGUUCCCUUAGUAUGAAGAUUCAGACUAUUUCUGGUUAGGAUUCUUUUAAACUUCUGAGCACCCUGCCUUCACCAGGGAAGUCUUUUCCUUCUCAGUAGGUUCCACUUCUUCCAUCACCUGAAAGUGGCUUAUUUAGUCCUCUUAUGGUUUGGAUCUGGAAUGUCCCCCAAUGCUCAUAUGAUGAAGGUUUUGUCCUCAGAGGUAGGAAUCUGGGGAAGUAAUAGGAUCAUGAGGUCACUGAUCUGACCUCAUCAAUGAACUAAUCCAUUGAUCACUCAAUGAACUACUGGGAGGUGGUAGAAACUGUAGGUGGUGGGGCACCUACAGUUGGAGGAAAGGGAUCACUGGGAGUAUGCCCUGGAAGGUCUCCUUCUGCUGGUCUCCCUUUCCUUCCCUCUCCCUCUCUUUCCCUCCCCACCUCUCCCUCCCUCCUUCCCUCACUCACACACUGGUUGCCAUGAAAUGAGUAGCAUUCUUCUGCCACACCCUUCCACCAUGAUGUUCUACCUCACCUUAGGGUCACAGAAACAGAGUCAGCCAACCAUGACUAAAGCCAUAUGCCAAAAAUAAACUUUUCCUUCUCUAAGUUGUGUCAGAUAUUUUGUCAAAGUGACAAAAAAAAGAAAACCUUGAUGACCACACCCUUUAACAAAAGUACUCUAUCUCCAUUAAUUCUGAAUAAUGAAACUAGAAAGGGUUCAUUUAUUCAUUAAUAUUUAUCAAGCAGUAGUGACUAUGUGCCAAUUUUUGAAAUAAGGAGAUGUAGAUGGAUCAGACAGGGAUUCAGUCUUUUAAGAGGAACCUCAGAAAAGCUAUAUUAAUAAAUAUGUAGCAGAGACAUCCUGCUUUCACUAAAAAAAAAAACACUUCCUCCUCUUAUUCCUGAGUGCAUACAUUUCCCAUAUUCCUCUACAGUUAGAUGUGAUCAUAUGCCUGAGUCUAGCCAACAAAAAAGUAGAUACAAAGGAUGUUCACCACAUCCAGGACCAGCCUGUGAGACCCUGCAUGCUCCUUCUCCCUUGACUAACAGGGGUGGCCAUGACCAUCAGCAUUUAGAAGGCACCAGAAGAUGGCAGAACCUCAGAUGCCUGCCAGUUGAAGGAAAGCUGUCAUUCUAGCCCAUUCAUGUUCAGAACUGGUACAAGGGCAAGAAAAAAUUUCUGUGUAGCUCCAUCACAAAUUGGGUCUACUUACAAGAACAAUCAAAUUAUUCUGAAUAAUAUAAAUAUAAGAUAGGGUACCACAAAUUGAUGAAAUGAUUAUUUCUUAAAGUGGAAAGAUUUAGUCACAGUGUAUAGUAGAAUAAAAUAGAUUGAAAUAGCUGUAAUAAUACUAUCCCAUUUUUUAAAUAAUACGUACGUAUAUGUACAUACACAGAAAAAGUUCUAGAAGAAUACAUAGCAAUGUAUGGGUACUUCAUUCUGGGUGGUAAUAAAAUAGAUAUAACUUAUCUACAGUUUCUGAUACAUCAGUGAUGAAUGUCUUAUAAUGACAUAUAAAAGCUUUGUUUAACAUUUAAAAGGAAAGAAUGUCUUGCCAUGUGUAUAGAAAGGAACAGCAUCUCAAAGUGGGUAAAGACUUCCUGAGGAAAAUUUGGUAAGGCAUCUCAGACUAAUCAUCUAUUAAUGAUCCUUCCAAUACUGCAAAUCUAUAAAUUAACUACAGCCUGAGAAUUAGAUAAAUUCUAUCACACACUUGGCUCCCAGCUCCCAAUUCACAAAUUGAGGCUUCAUCAAUGGAAAUCAAUUUGCCAGAAAGGAUAGCAGAGAUACAUUUAAAAAAAAAAUAAGGGAUUCUCUUUGAUUUGGUUAAGAAACAGAUCAAAUAAAUUAUUUCAAAAUUUCCAGGAAGAAUUCCACUUAAGCCAUAGAUCCAAUUGGUUAUUGCAGCAAGGCUUCCCCUUCACAUUUAGGAAGAUCAUAAAUAUGUUCUUCUAAAUCUGUUCUUCCCAUGUACUGGAGGAUAUGGGGUCCUAAAAGAAGAGUCAUUUCUGCUCUUCUCCAUACAAUCUCCAAAAGUCCUUGGAGAAAGAUUUCAUUGUACAGCAAAAGUCAGAAAUCUUGCAAACACUGUGUACCAAAGUCCCAAGUCCCUAUUCCUCCAUCUGGAGGAAUGCAGAUGACUUAACCAGGGGGAAGAGCAGGCCCCUGACCAUCCUGAUGGAGGAAGAGUAUUAUAGACUGAAAUCCCUGCAAACAUAGACAGAUGGCAAUUUCACUGGGAGGGCUCUUGGGAAUGCCUUCAGGGAGGGAGUACUGGAAGCAGAAGCAGGUCAAAGAAGAGUUGAGCUAUGAUGCCGUAAGUCACAAUGAAGGAAUUAGGGGAUCCCACUGGGCGUUCUGCAACUAGGACAGCCCUUCAGAGUUGUCCCAAUUGAGUUAAAGGCUCCAAAACUUUAUACACCCUUGGGGCCUGGAACAAGCAACUUUCCUUGACCAAUUUUCUGGAAGAGACUCAGUGAUGGGCCAUCAGCAGGAAAUACUGCAGGCAAUGGGGAGGACAAGCACCUAGGUUCAAGGGACACACAACAGUGUCUACUACAGAGCAGCAGGAAGACUCUAACUCCUCCUCAUCAGUCUAUCCAGUUGUCAAAGAGAUCACACCAAGAUCUGCUCUUGUCAUUCCUCUUUGAAAUUUCUUAGUCGUUUCCUAUCACCCCCAGGAUUAAAUAAAUCCUUCUACACAAGCCCAUGGGGCUUUUCUUAAGCCUAGGAGUCACCCCACAUGGCAGCCUCCCCCUCUGGAACCAGGCUGCAGCCACGUGGGCAUAUUCCCCAACACUAGAAAUUGCCACGUUCUUAUUGAUUGAUUGUAUGUUCUCCUCUGAGAAGUGUCUGUUCAGGUCCUUGGCCCAUUUGUUGAUUGGGUUAUUUGUUAUCUUAUUGUCUAAUUUUUUGAGUUCUUUGUAUACUCUGGAUAUUAGGGCUCUAUCUGAAGUGUGAGGAGUAAAGAUUUGUUCCCAGGAUGUAGGCUCCCUAUUUACCUCUCUUAUUGUUUCUUUUGCUGAGAAAAAACUUUUUAGUCUGAGUAAGUCC
RNAcentral lists this long non-coding RNA (47725 nucleotides) under Marmota monax (woodchuck). Lineage: Eukaryota; Metazoa; Chordata; Mammalia; Rodentia; Sciuridae. The record is from RNAcentral.